AUUAAAAUUCCCACACCAUCGUACAUGCCUUUUGGCCACCCCUCAGUGGCAAUUCCAACUCCUAUUGAAACCACAGCGCAUACCAUAAGGAUAAUUAAUGUUAAGUCUUGUAGGGCUUCCCAUACAAACACAAAAAAUGUUCGGGGAGGUUUCUCCGUAUAGCGGUUUAAGCCAUAAACAUUUUGCCUGAUUGGUAUGUUACUAUCCUUGACACCUUCAUCUAGCGAGACAGAGACUUUCCUUAAAAUCCCAUGAAUUCCACCAUGCAUUUUCAAGGCCUUAAUAUCAUGGCCACGCGUGAUAGAUGCAAGUUCAUCUGGGUGAAUGCUGAAACCUGAGGUUCUGGCAUCUUCAGACAGCUUGUAUUCAUCCUGUCUUGGCUUUUCAUUGGAUCGAUCACCAGCACCAGCUUCAUAAGAUCACAUAACAAAGUGAGAGAAGGAAUGAAUACAUGACAUCAGCGGACACAUAAUGAACUUUUACUUGACCUAUAAACUUAAAGAUAAUACCAUCAAUAAACUGCAGUGCUGCUUUCUGAACGUAAAGAGCAACUCGAAUCUUUUCCUGGUAAAACAAAGAAGAAUAACAAAGUCAAAAAACAGAUGACAAUCAUAGUCCCCCAGAACUACGGUAGCAGCAAAAGUUCACAAGUCAAAGUCUUCAACUGAAAAUAACAGAUAACCACCGAGUAUAUUCAAACAUAUACAGUAUAUUAUGGGAGAAUUCAAAAGCCUAUUCUUCAAUUUUGUUUGUUUUGAACAAAAUAAUCUUCCGUGUUUAAAAUAGUAUAUUACGGGAUUUCAACAACUAUCAUGAUCAUUUGGUGGAGUAAUGGGAUUUCAAAAGAUAGUAUGACCAACAAGAUUUUCAGGCUAUAAGGAAAAAAACAAUCAUGAAUCCUAGUAUUUAGUAUUAACCCUAGGAUUUAUUAUCACGCAAUAAAUCAAAGGGUCCUCAAUUCUUUAGCAUGACCCUAGUAUUAUACCAUAAAAUCAAAAUUAAAACUAAGUUUUUUAGGCCCAUAAGAUACUAUUUUGAAGUAUCUUUCACUUUCAGCAUUAAUAUAAUUUAGCAAAUUUCACUUGAAAGUUGGAAGUUGGAGCUAAUAUAUAUUUUCUUUUUAAGAAUUACUAGAAUUUAACAUACUGUUUUCUAAUACACGAAAGCAUACAUUGGUGCUGACAAUUAUUAUUUCAGAAAGAUGACCAAAUCCGUGUGUGCACCGUGUUUGACUGAAAAUCACAAUCAACUGAAAUUAAACAAAUAGUUGAGCAUGAUCUGCCAACUCCUGCAACCCCUUUUUGGGUUUUAUAAUCAAACAAGACGUUAAUGUAAAAACAAUUUUUCUUGAUAAUUUAAUAUGAUUCAUAAUACUCCUUACCAAAACAAUUUUUCUGAAUGUUUGCAUUAAACCAUUUUCUGAUAUUUUGAAUGUCUCACAAUUCUUUGCUUUUUGCCCAUAUAUAUAUAUAUAUAGAAGAUAAAACAGAAAGAAGCUAAUCUUAAUAUUUUAAGAUUCGAGUGUGUGAAAUAUCAUCUAUAGAAAAUUUAAAGAGCCCACGAUGCCCCCACUUGGGUGACCCAGCCACCCAUUUUAAGGAUCAAAUUGGACAGGGACUCGGCCAAUAAUCUCUGGCCAAUAAUCUCUGUCAAUAGCCAUCCGCUAUCAACACGGCGAUACCCUCUUGUUUUAAAGUCAUUAUUUUUGACUUUUUUGUCAUGCGAAAGUUCCUAGAAAAUUCAUCCCUUGCCAUUAUCGAAAGAUGUAGUCAGAAAGGUCUUUUUCUUAUAUUCGUACUACGCGUCGUCGUUAUGUAAACCAUGGACUACUCUGCUACGCGUCGUUUUCUGUUGAGGCAAACGAAAUUAAACGCAAGAAACAUAGUGAACCCAUCAAUACAAUAGUACAAAAGGUCGUCAGUCGAACGUGAGCCCCACCUGGCAUGGGGGCAUCACAUGGAAACGGACGGGCAUCGAAAAACAGUAUUAUAAUAAAGAAAGGUUGAGAACAAACGUGGGACCACACACGCCUCCUCCUGCUUCUCUUUCUUUCUUUCAUUUUGUGAGUUUUAAUUUACAACCUACGAUUAGCGAUCACUGAAUUUUUAGCAGUCCAAAUUACUCAAAUUAAAAUAUGAAAAUCGUUUUAAUUUCUUUUGUUUUCCUACCUUUUUUUUCUCGGUAACCAAACAAAAUAAAAACAAAAUCGUAAUCAAAAUAAAAACGUAAAAACUGCAUAUUUUUAGCAGCAAAACCUCUAUAAACGGCGGCGUGUUCAUAAUUUUUUUUAUUUUUUUUAUAACGAAAUCAAAAUAAAAACGCAAUAACUGCAUAAGCUGAGAGAGAGAGAGAGAGAGAGACCUGGAUUUGACGCUUCUUCCUCUCGGCCUCGGACCGCUUAGCGAGAUCGGCCACGAAGCGGAACCUCCUGCGACGGUUCUUGACGAGCGCGACGGCUUUUCUCCAUCUCCGAAUAGUUUCCUCCGAAGGAUUCUUGCUCUCCACCUCGAAGUCCUUCAAGUACCUCUCCAUUUCCACUGUUUUUUUCUCUGUCCUCACAAUAUUCAGAGAGACGCAGAAAAAGAGAGAGUCGCUCAGAGGCGAAGACUAGAGGGAGAGAGGGAAGGGAAGGGGAACGGGAAGCCAAAGGUGUGAGUCGCAGACUUCUAAGCCAAAGGAGAAGAUUCCGUACAUGUGCGUACAAAAAGGUUUGUCCUGGGGCCUGCCGUAGAUGGAGGCCACGUCACGUGGUUUACCGUGUUGGUGGGAUUAUUUAAUCAGAGAAUAUUGUUUAUGUGUGCAUUAUUUGUGGGAAAAGUGUUUACUUUGAUUUUCUUGUCACGUGAUUUGACAGAUUAUACAAAUUACAAAGUGACACUAACUUUCCCUUGGGGAUUAAAUUAUUGCGAAUUAUGAUUUUGCUUUUCUCGCCACAUGAUUUUGAUUUGGACUCAUCACGUUUGUCUUUUUUUUAAAAAAAAAUUUUUAAUUUUUAAUUCUUAAUUUUUUGCGAAAAUCACGUUAGUAGUGAAGAAGUAUCCCAGACUUUUUAGCUAUAAAGAAAAAACAAUUUAACUUGACCAAAAUACCCUAAUUCUGGAAUUCUCUAAGUUUGACUUAGCAUUAUAGGCUAAAAUAUAAGAAAAAUUAGUGUAUAUAAUAGACUAUAGUUUAGUGUUUGCCAAAAAAAGAGAGUAUAGUUUAGUGAUAAAAAAAAAUUAAUAAUUAAGAUAUCAUAAAUUAAGUAUUUUGCUUUUGAAUUUGGUGAAUGAGUUUUGAAUUUUGUUUUAUAAUAGGACAACAAUGUGGCCCAAAUUGAAUGGAGUAUUUAAAUUCAUAGGAGAAAAGACAGGUUUGCUCCUCUUAAUUUAAGAGGUUUUUCUCAAAAUAAAAUUAUUUGAGAGACCUCAAUAGAUAAGGACUGUAUAUAUAUAUUAGCCCCUUAGCAUAUGCUCACGCAUGUGCCAAUUGGUUCUUUAUUUUAUUUUAUAGAAUUAAAAAAGAUAAUAGGAAGUUGUGUUCCAUAAAAAUAGGACUCAUUACCUGAUUUUGUUUCUAUUUAAAAUAAAAUUAAUAUGAAAGAGUGUGAAUUUACCAUAUUAUCCUCAUUAAUAAUUUUAAUUGUUGAUGUUUGCAUUAACCAAUGACAUUUUAUGGUAUGAAAAUGUGAAAAAUAGAUGGUUUUGAUCAUUGAAUUUUUUUGUUUUUGUUUUUGUUUUUUUGUAGGUGACUCUAAAAGUUGUCCCUCAAAUUUAUUUAAGGAAACCUUCAAUAGAAGGAGACUGUAUAUGGGGUCUUUCUUCGUUACGGAGUCCACGAUGCGGAUUGGUUACGAAUAUCUAUUUUUUACCAUACGAUGAUACCAACUUUCAACGCUUCAUUUAUUCUUUUUUUCUUUCACCGAGUUCAAUCUUCUCUCUCUCUCUCUCUCUCUCUCUCUCUCUCUCUCUCUCUCUCUCUCUCUCUCUCUCCCUCUCCUCCUUUUUAAUUCUUUCUUCCGUUUUCUUUCCUUUCCUUCUCUCUUCUCUCUGUUUCCUGCGUUUAUCCCUUUAUCUCUCUGACAAAUCAUGUUAGUAGCCAUGUCAUGGAGUAAAUCAAUUUUGUUGGAUGAAAACAUUUGAAAGUUUCAAGGAAAAAAAAGCUGCAAAGUGAUUGUAAGGAGAAGUUACGGGAACCGAAAUUCCAAGAAGCAUCAUAGGAUUGAAUCAUCAGUAAUGGGUGUUAUAGAUUAUAGCAGAGAAAAUCAAGGAAAGAAAAAACUCCUUAUCUUUCUUUCUUUCAUUUUGUGAGUUCUAAUACAAAAUGCUCAUCUAAAUAAAUAUCAUCCAUUCUGUUUAGGCUUAAAUUCCACACGCCAACCCAAUUGACUAUUAACCCAUAUCAAAAACAAGAGUUUGGGCUUUGUUUUGUUAAAAUCAAAAGUCAGCCCAGACGUUUGCGAACCAAUUUGCAAGGAAUAAAUUUACAGAUUAAAGAUUAAUUUCCAUUAAUGGUGAUUUAAUUUGGACAAAUCAGUUUCUAAUUGGCUUUAAAACUAAAGCCUAGCUUCUAAUCUCUCCAAAGGCUCAAAAUUUGAUCAUCACCGUUGAUCACAAUUUCAGAAAUCAAGUCAGCAGAUUUUGAAAAAUCUCUCUCCACAAAGCCCACGUGACUCUAAAGUCAAGGUGUCAACAGGGCAGAGGAAGUGAUGGGGAGUUGGUAGAAGGGUUAAUCGGAAAACCACUCCCCAUAACCAUUUAAUGCCACAAAAGGAGGGCCAAGUUUCCUUUCUAUGCUCGUGAAGGCUUCGCAUAAGAGCAAGUUGGGUUUACAAAAGAUUUGCAAGAGAGAGGAGAGUUGGUUGUCAGAAGAUCAAAAUUGAGCAUCAUGGAAACUAACUGCUGAUGGGUUUUCUUGUCAGACUAAUUACUCCCCUCUUUUGCAUUGGAACGGAAAAUCCUCUCAACAAAUUUGUCCUCCAGAUAUUAAGGAAUAAACGCUCAUUCAGAUUCUCCAUAAAUAUGAAAGAAGGUGAACAUGAUGAAAGACAACCAACAAUUCAAUCAAAACAAAAACUCUCAAGUUAUACCGACAAACUCAAACAUAUCAUAUGAUCCCAAAAGCCUUUAGACUCUGAAGCAACCAAGCUCUUUGAUUUAUAAAAGACAUCCAGUCUCUGACAAAACAAGCAGAACUCAGGUGUCUGACUUCAGUUCAACUUAAAGAAGUAAUUCACAAAGAAAACGAGAUUUCUCUCAUUACAAAUUUAGUUCAGCAUAUGCCAAUCAAGAAAAAUUCAGGUUUUUCAUAAUAUGAAAACCUCAACAAAUUUACAAGGAUGCCUUGAUAUCUGAGAAUCAUCAGAACAUAUCACAAGUGAUCCACAAUUAAGCAGAACAGGUGCUGAAGUGUAGUUCCGGACCAGAAAUUGCCAAUCCAGCCACUCCAAUCCAAUCCAGACUGAAGAAAUCCCAGUUCUGCCCAUCCAACAAGCCUUUUCAUGGCUAAAAUAGAUUAAAACUUAAUUUCCAACUGAACCUCAUCAGUUGAAGGUGCUGAUGUUUGAAUCCAGCACAGAUACAUCUAGUCCAGCCUGAGUCACAAGCAACAAUCGAAGCAAAAAUCGAAGCCUAAUGUUCUGUUGUCAUUUCAUAUGUGGCAGUUCCCUUUUGUUUUAAAAUGUGUAACAGGCAGUUCUCUUUAAAACAGUUUGAUUUAUUUUCAAUAUUCAUUUUGGCUAGAACUGCUAGUUUUUACUAUGAGAAAUUGGGAAGUCAUCACCAGUCUGAGGCAAGAAAAGAACUUACUUGGAAGAUAUUCCUCACCCAAAUUCAUAAUCACUUGUUUAAAGUCAGUAACUUGGGGCACAAGUUAUCUAUUUUCAUAAGUCUGUUAGAGUAUUGACCACUAACAGUGGCAUGCCCUCACACUAAAGAAAGUUGACUUGUUGACCAUAAAUGGUUUUCAAGUCAAUGGGGAAUUUUACCAUACCAUCACAGGAACUAAAUCUAAACGAGUGAACAAUUUGGCACGCACGGUGGGACCUCACAAUAUACAUACUCCUAAAAACACUUUUUAGUGUAUGAAUAUUGGAAGUUCAAGCCAGAACCCACGCUUUGCCAUGGAAAGAGAUCAACCAGCUUUCCGAGAAGAAGGACAUGAAUCAGAAGAGAGUGAUGCUAGGCAUUCAGCUUACGGCAAUACCAGGAGUAGAUGUUCCCGAUCUAGCUCCAAAAUGAUAAACCAAAUACAGGAGGCUGUGCUUCGAUAAGAAGCUGCAGCACAAAUGAGCCAUGACAAUCUGAACAACAUGACAGCCAUGAUGCAAUGGCAAGUCAAUAGGCAGUUUAGGAAGGAUCGUGAGGCUGCUAUUACGAGGAAUCCAGAUCCAGACAAUGUAGUCCAGCAACUAAAACUCCCUUUCGGACCUCCACUAGGAUUGGCAUGGCCAUACCAAGAAAAUCCCCUCAUUGCAUAGAUAGCUGGAGUACCUGGAGUAGUAGAGAUCCAGGCUGGACAAAGGGGAUGAGCCUUUGUCACCCAAGAAUAGGAAGCUCCAAUUCUUCCACUAGGCCCAGCACCAGUUCAGGCUCCCCAGAAUCAGCCAAAACUUCCAGUUGUUCCAUGGCCAGAGAUUCCACAUGGCCAGUUAGUGGCACACCUGCCUGAACAGCCAAUAAUGUUGCCUUAUAGAUCUAGAAGAAUGAUCCCAAUCCAUUUACCCAACUAGCAAGAAGUAGAAGAGGCAGAUGAGGAAUUAAUCCUUUCGCUAACAACGACAGGAAUAAGCUAUGGGCAAACUGGAUGAAUCAUCCAGAUUUCGAAGAAGAUGAAGAAUAUAGGGAGGAGGUCAUACCCAGACCAUACAAAAUUGAACAGAGGGCUGAACAGAAUUAGCCAGAACAGGGACGGAACUUACCUCAUGUUAACGCUUUGAAUGACAUGGGGGCACUACAAAGAAUGAUUAGAGAGAUGAUGGAUCUUGAGGUCAGAAAAGGAGAAAGGCCCACUUACAAGAAGCCAUAUCCAGCUUACAUUAAUCAGAUGCCUUUACCCCCUGGUUUUAAAGUACCAACUUUCACUUUGUUCAAUGGAGAAUACGCUCAUGCGUCAUCAGUCGAACAUAUAGGCAAAUUCCUUGUCUAAUGCAUAGAUAUAGAGAAUAAUCCCUUAUUGAAGCUUAGGCUUUUUGGGAAUUCCCUGUUCGGACAAGCUUUUACUUGGUAUACCAAUUUACCAACCAAUUCUAUCCAGACAUAGGAGCAGAUGGAGAAUGCUUUCCACGACUAUUAUUUCAGAAUCCAGCCAGAAGUCACCAUAAGUGAUCUUGCGGCUCUUAAACAGAGUGAGGAUGAACCUGCCUAGGAUUUCAUCACCAGGUUUAGGAAACUCAAAAUGAAGUGCAGAAUCCCCUUGGAAGAAAGGCCCAGAUGGCUCAGACCACCCUCAAUAUUUCUCUAAGAAAGAGAUUCGAUGGAAUGGUGUUUGGAGACUUGGCAGAAUUGGCAGAUAAAGCUUCCAAGUAUGAAAGAAUUGCUAAGGGAAGAGCAGCAGAAGAGAAAUUCUUCCAAAUGCGCAUAUUACAAGACACCAUCUUCCUCAGUCCAUUUGGUUGAGGUAGAAUCGGAAGAAGAUUAAGAAAGUUCAGAAGAAAUAGAGGUGCAUCUAUCAAUCUACUACCUCAUAGACUAUUGGUUAAGCUGGACAGAACAGAAAAAGACUAAUCCCAACGCGUCUUUGUUUGGGCCUAAAUUCAGCACGCCAAAAUACAAAAGACAGGCCCAUGGUGAAAAUUCCUGCCCAGCCCAAGCUGUCCAGACAGGUUGGGCUUCACGCCAAAAUGUCGAAAACGAAGCCCCAGCCUAAGAAAGACCAACGUGGAAACUUUCAAUUGGGCUUCAAGGAUCAGCCCGUAAUUUUUGUUAGGUUCAAACCCAAGGGAUCAAAAACACACCCACGUGAUUACCUCAACUUUGAAAAGUCAGCAAUUCCAACUAAGUUUAAAAUAUGAGAGGGAUAUCUCUGAAACACUGCCAACAGAAGAUCAAAACCCAUCUGUGUUCGAGAUUUUGCUCCAAAUCAAUACACCAUCUUCCAAGGAAUUCACAGGUCACGCUUCCUAAAUUAGAACGGGAAACAGGGAGCUGUUCAGAAAAUACAAAAGAAAAACCAAACCGCCAUAAAAAGCCUACACAGACGGUGGCGUUGGUUGAAAUAGAAAGCUACCACCCAGGAAACCAGGGAAGGGACUGCUUUAGGAGGUGACUACUGAGAGCCUAUCUGCCAUGAUUGACAAGAAUCCCUUUUUUACUUUACAUUAUAGGAGAUCUUUUUGCUGCCCAUUAUUUAGAAUUAAAAUCACCUCCCCAAGAGGUUCUCUUAUAAAAACGAAAGUAGGCAAGGAAGAAAAGGACACCCAACAACAACAAAAAAGAACACUCAAUUCAUCAAUCAAACAAUCAGAAAUCAACCAAAGGCAAAAAACUCAAAACGAUCACUUGAUCACUGAGAACCUUCAAACAAACUGGAGCAACCAGAAGCUCAUUUGAGCCACACAAGAAGCCAGCUAUAGAUCAGAACUUCCAAAGUUCAGACUUAGCGAAAUAAGUCAUUCAAAACGAGACUUCUCUCGUUACAAAUUUGGUUCAGCUAAAGCCAAGACAAGCAGAGUUUGAGUUUUCACAAAUAUGAAAACCUCAACAAAUUUUACAGUGCAGUUCCAGCUUGCUAAGUCCUCGAGAACAGCCACUUCUGCCCCUUCAAACUGAAGAAGCUGCAGUUCUGCCCACUAAAAGGCCUCACGAAGCGUGAAGUAAACAUAAAGCUCUGCCAAAAUCGAACUUUGGUAUCGAUUCAUAGCUCAGCCUGGCAUCUGAAGUCACGAAGCAGUACGGACCAACCCAGGCGUGUCCAGUCCAGCCCAAGCUAGAGCCUUCCAUCCAAGCAGAAAUGGAGUUCCGGCCAUCUUUUAACCUUCCUAGCGUCAAUAUGCAUAUCUAUUGUUUUGUAAAAGGCAGUUCUGCCUAAAACAGCCCAACUUCUAUCAAAUAUUUCUGGCCAGAACAGCCAUUUGAUACUGAGAUAAAUUUUGAAAGUCCUCACCAGUCUGAGGCAAGAAAAGAACUUACUUGGGAGAUAUUCUUCACCCAAAUUCACAAUCAUUUGUUUUAGAAGUCAGUAACUUGGGGCGCAAGUUAUCCGCUCUAAAAAGAAGUCUGUUAGAAUUUACAUUGCUAGCAGUGGCACGCUCACACACCAAAGAAAGCUGACUUGUAGACCAACCAAUGGUCUCCAAGCCAGUGGGGAACUUCGCCCUUCCACCUCAGGAGUAAACAUGAAAACGGGUGAACAGUCUUACAGUCACCAAUUUCGCUGGGGGCAUCACCAAGACCCAUAGGAUAUUGGAUGUGGAUGUCACGGUAAGAACCAAGAAGCUGAAGAUUGUUUUCUUUGUGGUAGACACCACUUCUACCACUUACAAUGCAUUACGUGGAGAGAUUGGAUCCACCAAAGCUUAUGUGUUCCUUCCACUCUACACCAACAGUUGGCCCUCUGGCAUUAAAAGGGUUUUAUGAAGAGAAUAGAGGCUGAUCCACUGUCAUUUUUGCCAUCUGCAAAUUUUUUUGCAGAUCAUCCAGGGGAAGAGAUUGAGAACAUGGAUUCCAUGGAUAUAGCCAAUGCAGAUCUGCUGAGUAGAGCUCACACCUAUCUCAAUAAUCCCACCCAUUGGAAGUUGUAUUUUGAUGGGUCUAAAACUAACCUGGCUUCUAGAGCAAGAAUUAUUUUAGAAGAUCCAUUAGGAAUCAAACACUGUUAUUCAUUCGAGCUAGAUUUUCAGUGCACCAACAACAGUGCAGAGUACGAAGCUUUGAUCAUUGGCUUCGAGAUGCUUGGAGAUUCCGUGCUUGUUAUGAAGCAGAUUGCUGAAGCAUACAAGUGUUUGAAUCCUUCCUUAACUGUUUAUUUGCUGGCAGCCUAAAAUCUCCUGGCAGAAUUCAGGGAAGCCACUUGGGAACAUAUUCUAAGGGAAGAGAAUUUUGCAGCCAAUGAAAUGGCUCAAAUAGCAACAGGAGUGCAAAUACCUGAAGACUGCAUACAGAGAAUCAUCAAAGUAGGGAAGAAGAGUCUACCAUCUGUUCUGACCAGGGGAAUGGAGAUAGAUGUCAAUUCUACCAUAAUGACUGAGGAGGAUUGGAAAUUGCCUAUAAUUAGUUAUUUGCAGUAUCCAACCAUUCCUUCCGAGAAGAAGAUAAGAAUCAUGGCUUUGAACUAUCUCAUGUGGAAUGGAGACUUUGUCCGAAAGAGCAAGGAUGAGCUACUCUUGAGGUGCUUGGGGAAGGAAGAAUACAUGAAAGUAAUGGGAGAAGUCCACGAGGGAAUCUAUGGAGCUCAUCAGAACGGAAGAAAAAUGUGCUGGCUGAUCAAAAGGUAUGGUUAUUUCUGGCCUACCAUGGUGAAAGACUGCAUAGAAUAUUCUAAAGGAUGUGAAGCUUGCCGGAAACAUGGACCAAUCCAGCAAGCUCCCUCAGUUCCUAUGAAUCCAGUUGUUGAGCCAUGGCCAUUCAGGGGAUGGGCAAUGGACCUCAUUGGUAAGAUCUAUCCAGCCAGUAGCAAACACCACUGUGUCAUCACUGUGGCUACAGAUUACUUCACUAAGUGGGUGGAGGCUAAACCAGUCAAAUCCACUACAUCUCAAGAGAUCAUCACUUUCAUUGAGGAGCAGAUUGUACACAUGUUUGGCAUACCUGAAUCAAUUACAACUGACAAAGGGACUUCCUUCAUAUCCAGGGAGAUGCAAGAUAUGGCAAGUAGGCUCAAGAUCAAAUUACUAUGCUCAGGCAAAUGGAUAGGCAGAAUCAAGCAAGAAGGUGAUCAUUAAUAUCAUCAGGAAAAUCCAAGGCAAUGGCAUGAAAAGUUGUCAGAAACCUUAUUGGCCUCUAGAACUUCAAAGAGAGAGGCAACUGGCAUGACCCCAAUAUAAAAUGGAUAAUUCUAAGGAAAUAAUAUAUAAUAGUAAAGGGACAAGAACAUUGCUUUAGAUACAUAACGUACAUAAAGUAAUAAGUCCAUGAAUUAAGAUAUAAAUGGAAAGUGGUCCAAAGAAGUUAGAUACACGAGACAUUUCCAUACAUAUAAAUAUCGUAUCCUAAAAUGUUCAUGGUCAUAGGAUCACCAAUUGGACAAUGGUGACCUGCAAAGGCAAGUACACAUUAUGUCUGCUCAAUUGAGAGGAUGACUAGUUUCAAGUCAUUCGUGUAGAGACAUUGAGACAGAUGUGUAGGUGCUCUAUAGAAGAUGAAGUCCACUGAACGCGAUCAACUCUAGAAUUCUUGUAUGGAAGUCUUACUCACAAGUGUCAAACAAAGAAUUCUAAGUUGUGAUCAUGCAAAUUAAUCCUUAGACCUGGGACAUCACAGUUGUCUUUGUAUAUGUUGUUUCUCUUUGAGAGCACUAUACGGUCGUAUCAAAAUGAUGUGACUUAAAGGUGUUCCUCAGGAUUCUCAGCGUGUACGCAGAGACAGGUGAAUGUACAACAAGGAAUCUCUACUCUUAAUAAGGAGAGAAUACUCUAAAGAUAUGAUUCGUGAAUCUUUGGCCAAAGUAUUGGAUGGACAUUUAAACAAGAACGUUUGCAAUUUCAUCAAAUUGAAUCAUAUAAUCAAGAGAUGUCAUAUUAGAGAUUUUGACACAAGUUUACCAUAUCCCGAGAAUAUGACAUAAAGUAUUGAACUAGAGAAGGAUCAAAUUGCAUUGUAAUAAUAAACUGACUAGGUUCUCUGAAUGAAUUCUUUUUAGCUAGGGUAGCCAUGACAUACUACUAGGUGUCACUCAUGGCUUGUGGAAGCCCUGUAAGAACUAAUUAUAAUUAGCAUUCACCAAUAGGGAGAAUUGUAUGGAGGGAUACAAUUCACACUUGAUUCAGAGUGAAUCAAUCAUACCCACUGCCUCGCUAAUUAGAACCUAUAAGAUCGCACACCGAAAAGGAAUCGAUUGGGAAAUUAUGAAGAGAAUGAAUGAUUUUGUGACUUGGUCAAAGUCAAUGUGAAAGUCAAAGGUCAAAGUCAAAAGUCAAAGGUCAAAUGGUUGACCCGACACUUGACACGGUCAACUAAGGAUGAUCGGGACCAACACUCGUUAGACAAGGGAGUGAUUGAAUUAGUCAAGUCACUAGAGUAAUUAAAUUGAUUAGAUUAAUUUAAUAUUCAAUUAAAGUUAUGAAACUUUAAUUAAAGAUCCCAUAUGGCGUGGAAAUUCGAAAGGGAUUUGACCAUAUGAACUUAGGCACAUAUGUGACAUAUUAUAGGAUUAAUGUGUUGGGCCAAGAUAGAAAAAGAUGAAACAAAAAAAAAUGGGUGUGGCUACACUAGGCUUGGGGGCAUUUUUGUCACUCUUGUUACAUUUUUUUAUCCUAUAAGUGUGUAGCUAUAGAGUCAUAUCAUCCUAGGAUUUUUCAAGUUGGUCAAUUGGAAGAGAGAAAACAUCAAGCUCUCUCUCCUUAACCCCUUGAAUCUAUCACAUAAAGUAAAGGUGCUAGCACCACUCUUCACUUGUUGUCUACUCAUUCUCUCAUCCCAUUUAAUUAUUGGUGAAGAGCUUUGGGGAGGUGCAAAUCUUUGUACCUAUUUGGAGAGCUACAAGAUGGAGAAUCAACAUCAAAGGGACCACUCCCUCUGUUAAACAACCCGCACACUAGAUGUUGUUCUUUGAUGUAACCAGCUGCAAUAGACUAAACUAGCAAAUAUUAAAAUACUUAGAAACACACAAGAAUUAUACUGGUGCGGCAGAACUUUUGCCUACGUCCAGUUGUGAUUUCUUUAGGUAGAGAAAUCACUGCUCUUUUGAUUAAUAAUAGAGAUUACAGAACUUUUGCAACCCUAGAACUAAUCUCAAAACUCACGGCUGUCUCUGGCUAUUUUUCACCUGUAAAAUAAGCCCUGCCGCACCCUAUUUAUAGAUAUAGAGUUGGCUUAUAUGUCCCAAGGCUGAUUGAAUUCCUAUUCCUAAGUAGAUUAGGAAAUUACACUCAUCCAAAUCCAAAUAAACUUCUAGAAAUCCAAACCUAAAUUGAAUAAGGAAAACGGAAAUUCUUUCAUAAUCCCUCUAGGACAAGAAUCGGUAUAUCUCUAAUUUUCCUAAAACAAUCCUAAACCAACUAGGACAUAUUUAAUAAGCCAAAAUCCUAACAAUCUCCAUCUUGGUGAGUCAAACCAAGUCUUGAUCGUUGCACCCCAUAGUAUCUUUGAACCUCCUUAAAGCAGCUUUAGAAAUCUUCAAGAGUCUUCACCUUGGCAAUCUUCUUCUUGCCUCAUUGCACCUCAAGUGAGGAGGUGCUCCACUUUAAUCAAUAACGAGAUUGAUCAAGUUCCAGCAAUACUUGAACUUCUUGGCCGGCACUAUCUUUGUAAGGAAAUUUGCAGCAUUGUCAUCCGUAUGAAUCUUUUCAAUCCAAAUCUCCUUAGACUCCACCCAAUUUCUGAUUCUGUGAUAUCUUGCUUCAAUGUGCUUUGAUCUUCCAAAAAAAAAACCUUGAUUCUUUGCCAAGUGAAUGGCACUUUGACUAUCACACUUCAGCUUCACACAAUCUUGGGUGAUUCCCAUUUGACUUACCAAGCCACUAAGCCAAAUUGCUUCCUUUCCAGCUUUGGCCAAUGCAAUAUACUCUACCUCUGUGGUCAACAAAGUUGUAAUUGGUUGCAAUAGUGCCCUCCAACUGAUCGGUCCUCCUGCACAUGUAAACACAUAACCAGAAGUUGACCUUCUCUUGUCCAAGUCCCCUGCAUAAUCGGCAUCCACAUAUCCCAACACCCCUGCAUUUUCUUUUUGCUUCUCAAACAUAAUCCUUUGUCGCCAAGAACCCUCCAAAUAAUGCAAAAUCCACUUGACUGCAUCCUAAUGUUGCUUUCCUGGAUUUGCCAUGUAUCUGGAAACAACAUUGAUUGCUUGAGUUAUGUCGGGACAUGUGCAUACCAUUGCAUACAUGAGGCAACCCACGACAUUAGCAUAAGGCAUCUUCUCUAUUACUUGUUGCUCUUCCUCGGACUUAGGACACUAUUGCCCACUUAACUUGAAGUGAGCUGCCAAAGGAGUCGAAACUACCUUUGCUUCUUGCAUGUUGAAUUUCUCAAGAACCUUUUGAAUAUACUUGGCUUGUGAUAUCCAGAUCCUUCCAGCGGUCCUAUCUCUCUGAAUUUCCAUGCCAAGGAUCUUCUGUGCUGCACCUAGAUCUUUCAUGUCGAACUCCUCGCUGAACAUCUUCUUCAAGUCUUGAAUUCUAGACUUGUUUUGACAAGCGAUUAGCAUGUCAUCCACAUAUAGCAAAAGCAAUAUGAUCAUCCCAUCUUGGAACACAUGAUAGUACACGCAACAGUCAUAUAAACAUAUUCUAAAAUUGAUUUUUAGCAUGAAGUAAUCGAACUUCUUGUACCACUGUCUUGGAGACUGUUUCAGGCCAUACAGGGACUUCCUUAACUGACAUACUAGGUUAUCUUUUCCAUAUUCAAUAAACCCUUCUGGUUGAGCCAUGAAAAUUGUCUCCUCUAGAUCCCUAUGAAGAAACGUUGUCUUCACAUGUAUCUGUUCAAUCUCCAUGUCAUGCUGAGUUGCCAUUGCUAAAAGAAAUCUGAUAGAAGUAUGCUUGACUACGGGUGAAAAGAUCUCAUCAUAAUCCACCCCUUCCUUUUGUGAGUACCCUUUAGCCACAAGCCUUGCUUUGAAUCUCACGGCAUCUUGUUCAUGUAGUCCUUCCUUUUUCCUAAAUACCUACUUGCAUCCAACUAGCUUUCUGUCUUUGGGCUUAGGAACCAACUUCCAAACAGAGUUCUUGUAAAGAGACUCCAUUUCUUCUGUCAUAGCACUUAUCCAACUAUCUAGCUCAUCACUUCCUAUAGCUUCUCGAUAAGUAGUUGGAUCUCCUUGACUAAUGUUGAGAGCAUAAUUAACUUCGUCUUGGUUAAACCCAAACCUGUCAGGUUUCUUCUUGUUCCGAUUAGGUUUGUCCAGUGCUAUGCAUCUCUGGAAUGCAGGUGGAUUGUUGAUUGGAGUUCGAACCCUUUGGGAUGUGUGGCAGAUUAGAGUGCCUUCAAUCUACCUUAUUGCUUGCUCCACUUGAUUCCUAACUGGUGAACGAUGCUGAUGCUUUUCUUAUUCCUCAAAACCAUCAGAUUCGGCAUCUUGCUCAAUUUGCUCCACCCGAGCUUCUUCUUCGUCUGAACCGAUUAACGGAAUCUUUGUUGCUUCAAUUUCAGCAUCGUCUUUCUUCUACCUACUACUCUCAACUUUAUUCAGAGGCAUGAUUGUCUCAUCAAAGACAAUAUCUCGGCUGACAACCUUUUUCCUGUUGUUGAUAUCCCAAAGCUUGAAACCCUUCACUCAUUUCUCAAAACCUAAGAAUAUGCAAUGGGUAGACUUUAAUUUGAGCUUGGACCUUUCAUCACUUGGAAUAUGUGCGUAAGCACUACAGCCAAAUACCCUGAGCUUGGAAUAGUCCACCGGCUUCUCAUACCAUACCUCUUCUACACUCUUAAAACCGAGAACUGUAGAUGAUGAUCUGUUAAUCAAAUAACUUGCAUGAUUAACAGCCUCUGCCCAAAAACUAUCAGGCAAUCCCGCAUGGAAUCUCAUGCUCCUCUCUCUCUCUCUCUCUCUCUCUCUCCAUUAGAGUUCGGUUCAUCCUCUCAGCAACUCCAUUUUGUUAGGGAUUCUUCUUUACUGUGAAGUGCCUUAUGAUGCCUUCCUGCUUGCAGUAAUCGGUAAACUCAUUACUCGUAUAUUCACCUCCAUUGUCACUUCUUAGGUACUUGAUCUUUCUUCCAGUUUGAUUCUUGGUUUCUGUUUUCCAUUCCUUGAACUUUGCAAAAACCUCGGAUUUUUGCUUCAUGAAAUAAACCCAAACCUUCCUAGAAAAAUCAUCCAUGAAAGUAACAAAAUACCUGGCUCCACCAUUUGAUUUGGUUGGUGCAAGGCCCCAAACAUCUGAGUGAAUAUAGCUGAGUUGCUCCUUGCUUCGGUUAUCUGCACUGCUACUCGUGAAUGAUACCUUCCUUUGCUUUCCAAGAACACAAUAUUCACAAAAGUCCAGUUUGCAAGAUGACAUGCCUUCCAACAGGCCUUGCUUGUGUAAUUCUUGCAACCCUUUCUAGCUUAUGUGCCCGAGCCUAUGAUGCCAGAGUUCAAUCUUGUCUUAUAUACCUUGAUUUACAGAAACAGCUGCUCCCCCGACUAUAGUGGUCCCAAUUAACUUAUACAACUUAUUGGGUUGUAGGUCACCUCGAAUUACCACCAGUGAUUCUUUCGUUACCCUGAGUCUUCCCUUUUUAGACUCGUACCCAUAGCCGACCUCAUCUAAAGUACCCAAGGAAAUCAAAUUCUUUCUUAGUCUAGGGACAUAUCUAACGUUCCCCAAAACUCGUAUCAUCCCAUCAAACAUUUUGAUUUGAACAGUGCCGAUUCCUUUUACAGGACAUGAAGAAUCAUCCCCCAAGCCAAAUCUUCUAAUCGAUAAUUGGGCCAAAGAAAUAACUUAAAUUUAUUAAGUUUUUUCCCCGCUGCUGACUUCUUUGUAAGUAUCGAACCAUUCUCUUACUACACACAUAUGAAAAGUGCAUUCGGUAUCCAAAAUCCAAUUUGUGAAAGCCUUGGAGCCUGAUGUUACUGAAAGAAACUCCCCGUCACUCUCAUGCUCGGUGACUGCAGUAGCUGAACCUGAGCUUCCUUCCCUCUUGGCUUUCUUCUCUUUCCAAAUCUUGCAGUUCCUCUUCCAAUGAUCGGCUAAACCACAUUCGAAGCAACCUUCCUUUUUUUCCUUUUUCUUCUUGGAUUUUGACCUACCUCUGUUGCAUGUUUUCUCUUCCUUUGUCUUUUCCCGCCCCCUCUCCUUGCCUUUGGCAUAAAGGCCUUGAGAGCUUUCAGUUAUAUGAUCUAGUUUAGCAUAUGACUGAAGAGCUUGAAUUACAUCUUCAAGCUUCAAGGACUCUUUUCCAAACAUUAGAGUUGUUCGAAAGUGCUUGAAAGACGAAGGUAGAGACCUCAGCAAGAUGAUAGCCAUACCAUCAUCUUUGUAAGUUUCUUCGACCUUUUGAAGAUUAGUUAUGCAAUUCUGGAACCUGCAUACGUGAUCUUCAAUAUCACCUCCUUCUUCCAGUCAAAGUCCGAAUAGUUCAUCCUUUAGAAAUAGUUUAUUGGACAUGGUUUUGCCCAUAUAAACAUUCUCCAACUUUUCCCAUGCUUCUUGGGCAGUCAUCUUUUCGGUGAUGUGUGAUUGAACUGGUCUUGUGAGAUGGAUCUUGAUGGAACUCUUGGCCUUCUUGCGAACCUUAGUCCAUGCUGCGUCUGUCAUGCUUGCCGGCUUCUCACCGUUGAGUGCAUCAUCCAAAUCUUGCUGCAUCAGUACAUUCUUCAUCAUCCUUUGCCAGUCCGUGAAGUCAUCCUUACCGUCAAAGGGCUUUAACGUAGGUCCUAAAUCCGCAUUCAUCUUCCCUUUAGACAUCGUAGAACCCCUUGAGCCAAUCUCUGAUAUCAAUUGUUAAAUAACCCGCACACUAGAUCUUGUUCUUUGAUGUAACCAACGGUAAUAGACUAAACUAGCAAAUAUUAAAACACUUAGAAACACACAAGAAUUAUACUGGUUCGGCAGAAUUUUUGCCUACGUUCAGUUGUGAUUUCUCUAGGUAGAGAAAUCACCGCUCCUUUGAUUAUUAAUAGAGAUUACAGAACUUGUGCGGCCCUAGAACUAAUCUCAAAACUCUCGGCUGUAUCUGGUUGUUUUUCACCUCUAAAAUAAGCCCUGCCGCACCCUAUUUAUAGAUAUAGAGUUGGCUUACAUGUCCCAAGGCUGAUUGAAUUCCUAUUCCUAAGUGGAUUAGGAAAUUACACUCAUCCAAAUCCAAAUAGACUUCCAGAAAUCCAAACCUAAAUUGUAUAAGGAAAACUAAAAUUCUUUCCUAAUCCCUCUAGGACAAGAAUCGGUAUACCUCUAAUUUUCCUAAAACAAUCCUAAACCAACUAGGACAUAUUUGACGAGCCAAAAUCCUAACUCCCUCUACUUGAACAUCAUUCUUGGUUUCAAGAUUCGCUCCAAGGAUAUGAACAUCUUAUCUUUUUCUCAAAUAGGAUUUAAAGAGUCUUUGGUGCACACUUUCAUAGACUUAUAAAGAUUGGGACCAAAUGAGACUUGCAUGAAUCCCUAGUUUAUUUAAUGCAUCUGCUCUUACUUUGAUUUCAUAUUAGAUAUGGCAUGCUAGGUGAUUUAUACUCUCAAAGUUUGGUUGUAGAGUUUUUAGAAAUCUUUACACAACACCAUUCUCAUAAUAUUCCCUUCACCCAUAUACUCUAACCUAUGGACAUGACGCAAUUCUACCCAUGGAAAUCAUAGUCCAGUCCAUCAAAAUUGCCCUGCAACAUAACUUAGUUGGAGAAGACUAUUCACAGGCAAUGCUGCUAGAAUUUGAGGGAUUGGACACGAGUAGAAUUGAUACCCUUAACAAACUCUUAGUAGGAAAACAAGCUGUGGCAAGAACUUAUAAUAAGAGAGUUAAAAACAAGAGCUUUGAAGAGGGAGAAAUCAUCCGAAGAGCAAUUCUGCCCCUUGGAUCCCACGUGGCUGGUUAUGGAAAAUGGUCACCCACAUGUGAAGGCCCUUUUCUAAUUAAACAAGUCCUUGGAUUGGGGGCAUACAGGUUACAGGACCAAGAUGGAGAAAUCCAUGCUGCACCGAUUAAUCGCAAAUGGUUAAAGAAGUUCUAUCCAACUAUGUGGAAUUCACAAGUAGUACAAACAGAUCCUGGGAUCGAAGGAGAAGUGGAUAGAACUAUUGCUUGACUUUUGAAUAGUUGAUGUAUAUAUGUGGUUCAUUUUUGUGUAUUCUGCCCAUAUGAGAUGUUUGAAUGAGGCGAAAAUAUGAAAAUGCAAGAUUGGCAGAAAUUAAUAGAACUUUUCAUUCAUAAUUGUCAUGAAUAAAUGACUAAGUUUUAUUACAGAAUAGAUAUUUUCUAGAGGCCUAGUUUCUUGAGAGUCUCUUGCAAUCCAGCCUUCUUAACGGAGAUCUCAAACUGGAGAAGCACUCCUUGAUGAAUGGAGGCCUCUGCAAUCUCUAGUGCAUGCCUUGAAGUUGCGACCAUGCUUUGCAAAAGGAAACUAGACUUGGUCUUCGCACCCAAUCCAGCUCUAAGAUUCUUCUGCCUCUCCCUUAGUACAACUAGUUGCUUAUGGAGGUUCUCAAUGUCCUUUUCUAGCUUAUCAGCGGCGGAUUUAGUCUCCUUGUAGUCUGCAACCAAUGCAUCCAGUUCUAACUUCUGCUUCUGAUAUUCUACCAGCUUGGCUUCACGCGUAGCCUUGCAGGAUUCAAAAGCACUAAAGGAGGGUUUGAGAUCUUCAUAUCGGUUGUGAAGGUUGAUUACAUCUCUGGCCAGACCCAGGCUGAUCUCAAGAAUAGGUCGAGAAGCCAUGUUCUCCUUGUGCAGCAGGUCCAGAUCUUUCAUCAGUUUAUCAAUAAUUUCUUUGUUCUCAUCCAGAUCCAGCUCAGUGGACUGCCAGAUUUUUAUUCUGUCCACCGCCUCAUCCACUGCUUCGGACUUGGAUUUGCUUGGAGUGGAUCCUAGUUUUUCAAUCCUCUGCAGCUGAGCAUCCAGGUCCAUAGCUUCAAACUCUGCCAAUUCUGGUUCAGCAAAGGAGGCUGUGGUUGAUGAGCCUGGGACAGAAUGAAGGGGCAUCUGCAUAAACUAGCCCCAGUUAGGUUCUAUCUCAAACUAAAAUCAGGAAAUGGGAUUGGCCUAGCAAUACUUACAGCCACGUCAUGGGCUUGAGAGGGCUUUAGUAGAAAAUGGCGAUUUAAUUUGCAACCUAUGAUUACCGAUCACUGAAUUUUUAGCAGUCCAAAUUACUCAAAUUAAAAUGCUAAAAAUCGUUUUAAUUGCUUUUGUUUUCCUACCCUUUUUUUCUCGGUAACCAAACAAUCAGGCCAGCAAAACCUCUAUAAACGGCAGCGUGUUAAUAUUUUUUUAACGAAAUGAAAACAAAAACGUAAAAAUUGCAUAAGCUGAGAGAGAGAAAGAGACCUGGAUUUGACACUUCUUCUUGUCGGCCUCGGACCGCUUAACGAGAUCAGCGACGAAGCGGAACCUCCUGCAAGGGUUCUUGAGCACAACUGCAACAAGCAUGCUAACUGAUCCAAGUAAAAUGCAGAGUAACCAUAGUUGCCAGCUUAGUGGAACAGUGCUAGCAAAAGCUCCCAAGAACUCUACUAUGAUAACUUGGAAGGCCACUGUGCAAACCACGACGCCUAGGAAUACCCGGCUGUCAAACAUGCCCACGAAUAUGUUUAUCUUCUCUAUGUCACGGCUGUUUAUCUCAUUAAACACCUGAUAAAAACAAAAGCAAACAAACAUCAUAUGUAUGCGGGAUUCGAGUACUUACGCUGGUGUGUUAAGAUUUCAGAGAGACAGACGGACACAUGCAUAGCCCAGAAGAAGUUAUAGGCCGUAUUAAAGUUAAACAUGUUGAUGAUGCAAGAGAAAACCAGGGUUGCUUUUAACCAGUAAAAUGUACCUGGCAAAACACAAAUGCGUUGAAUAUCAGUGUGUCUAGAACUUCAGUUGCAUCUGAACCAGAAAGUCCAAGAAGCUGUUUCCCAUAGAAAUUGAGAACUCCAAGGACAAUCAGUUGAUAGAUACUCUGGCCAAUGAUAUUCCUCCACAUGGCCUUGGUUAUGAAGCUUGUACCCCAACCAACAGAGGGCCUUUUUAUAAGUCCAUCACUUGGAGGCUCUGUUCCCAGUGCCAAUGCCCCAAGAGUGUCCAUAAUCAUGCUGACCCAAAGCAAUUGCACAGCCGUAAGGGAAGCAGAUCCUGAAAGAGAUCUGAAAUUUAUCGUUAUUUAUUUGUGUCUUUCUAAACAAAUAUAAUGGUGUAGCAUGCGAGAAAAAUCUGCCAGACCAACAUACCUGAGACACAUGCAGAAACAAAAUUGAUUAUUAGAGCAACAACGUUAACUGUCAACUGGAACUGCACAAACUUUUGAAUGUUUAUGUACACUGAACGUCCCCAUCUUGCCACAUUUACUAUAGUCUUAAAAUUGUCAUCCAAUAUGACGACAUCAGCACUUUUCUUGGCAACCUGUAUAUACCAUCCAUGAAUUGGCUAUUCAGAACUAGGAACAACAUCCAAUUAUCAAGCAGCCGGGAGGAGAAAACAAAUCCUAAAUGACACAAAAUGGUAGUUAACCUUAUGCACAUUCAGAUUGCAGGAAACCAAAAAAGGCCCUGUCGAUAAUUAGCUAAAUAUAAUUGAGUAGUUGAUUUAAGCAGAGGGACUUGCGAUUUCCAGAAAUGAGCAACUGAAAUUUAUUGGAAGGAUACCAUUCCAAGUAUACUACUUGGACAAAGUAAUGGUUCAAAUAUGAUUUAGAAAAGUCAUAGAGCAGCUCGUUGAGGUACAUGUUGUAGUUUGGAGUUGCCUUUUCCUUUAGCAAGCGGUAUAUGCUAUAAUUAGCAAGAGGACCAGAGGGAAAUCACAGUAAAUAUCUCAAGUUGGCCUAUUCCCCAAGUCAAGGGGUUUUCAAAAGCAACAUAAAUUGACAAAAAGAACAAGACACCAAUUUCUUUUUCUGGUAAAUGUUAUACAAGUUACAACAAUCAAGUUGCAUUCACCAGCUUCUUGGUAGGAGGGUACGUAAGAGGGCAGUUCUUAUCACAUCUAAGGCUUUUUCAGGUUUUCUUAGGAAGCAGUUCUAUUUUGGUGGUCAUUUCUGUCCAAGGGUAAAUAUGGGCAUGAGGCACCAAAAUAGUAAUAUUAGUAACAAAAAUAAUAAAACAAACAACAAUAAUUCGAAACUACAGCCUUAAUUGUUUUUUCUUCUGGCUACGCACCAAGAAUAUAUCUUUAACAUAAUUGUUUUACUCAGUAACAUGCGCAACAUGUGUCCUACCAUCAAAGAUUAUGUGUCUUGUCAACGCAUUCUACAUGUGACAUACAUGAAAUGAGUUCGAAUGAAAUAUGUGACAAAUCAUGUUAGUAGCCAUGCAUGGAGUAAAUCAAUUUUGUUGGAUGAAAACAUUUGAAAGUUUCAAGGAAAAAAAAGUUGCAAAGUGAUAGUAAGGAGAAGUUACAGGUAAAGAAAUUCCAAGGAGCAACAUAGGAUUAAAUCAUCAGUCUGAAAAUGGGUGUUAUAGAAUAAGUUAUUUGAGUAAGAUGAUGCUAGGUCAUCAAGGUUGAGAUACACACAAGAAAAAGUAGCUGAGACACAAACCUCUGUUCCUGCUAUGCCCAUAGCAAGUCUAAUGUCUGCCUUGUGCAAAGCAGGAGCGUCGUCGGCCCCAUCGCCAGUCACUGCAACUACCUCACCAAAUUCAUCUCUCAGAGUUUUUACCAAGGUGUGCUUAUCCAAUGGUAAAGACCGAGCCAUCACCUGUAUCCACAUGAACAUUUAAAUUUUUUGUGAACAUCUUUAAAUAGUUAUGGUUGAGGGUGAAAAUUUUCUAAUGAAAUUAUUUAGUAACCUGAAUCCUCGGUAUAACAGCUUUCUUCUGCUCAAGAGACAUGUUACGAAACUCCUGUCCUUCUAUGGCUAAACCAUCUUCUGUGAGUAUGCCGCAUUCUUUAGCUAUGGCUUUAGCUGUAUAUAUAUUGUCACCAGUGACCAUUCGUACAGUUAUUCCAGCAGAUAAACAAGUUUGAACUGCGUCCUUUACCCCAGGGCGCACAGGAUCCUUGAUACCGACAACUGCUAUCAAUGUAUAGCCAUCAUCUGGGAUGUCAUUUUCGAUGGAAGAGUCAUCUAUAUUUUUGAAAGCCAAGCAGAGCGUUCUCAAGGCUUCAGAAGCAAAAGAAUUAAUGACAUCUGUGAUAUUCUUUACCUGUUCUCGGGAGAGAAUAACAGAUUCUCCUUUAAAGUCAAUAAAUUUGUUACACAUUCCCAAUACUAUUUCUGAUGCACCUUUGCAAAAGGCGCGUUUACCACCAUGAGGAUGAGCUACAAGCACAGACAUUUUCUUCCUCACAGAAUUGAAAGGUUCAACCUUAAGAAUAUUAACCUCUCUGCGCACGGCAUCAAAAUCGCCACCCAAAAGUAAACCAAAUUCUAAUAAUGCCGACUCUGUUGGUGUCCCCAAAAUGGAGGUCCUUCCAUCUUCCUUAAUAACCUCAGAGCUUGUAUUUUGGAAUAUAACCUGUAAAAGGAUGCUUGAUGCUCCAGAUAUUUCUGAACUCAAUAUUUCUUUACUCUCAUUACCUUUUACAUCUAAAGUUUUUUCACAUAUCCAUAGCUUGUUAACUACCAUGUGGGUUGUGGUUAAUGUCCCUGUUUUGUCUGUGCAAAUGCAACUAGCAUAACCCAUUGUCUCACAUGCUGAGAGAUGCCUUACUAGUGCCCUAUCAUUCAUUAAUUUUUUCAUAGCAAAAGCAAGGCUCAGCGGCACUGCCAAUGGUAAUCCUUCGGGAACUGCAACAACAAUUAUAGUUACCGCAAUAGCAAAGUAGUUCAAUAGGAUUACUGCAUCAGUUGAAGACCAAUCAGUGAUCUCGUUGUUAAGUAUUUUUUCCACCAAAAAUCUUACUGCCAAUACCAAAAAUGUCAACACAGCAAAACUCAGACCAAUUUUACCAAUAAUUGUAGCAACACCAUUCAGCUUUACCUGCAGUGGGGUCUCAUCUUCUCCUCCUUCACUCAGAGUUUCCAUCAACUUUCCCCAUUCAGUUCUCAUACCAACUGUUGUCACCAGCAUUAUACCUGACCCAUCCUGCACUUUAGUUCCUGAAAGAAGAAAAGGCUUCUCUUCAUAUACAUUGACCGGCUCACUCUCACCUGACAAGCUUGACUCAUCAAUCAGCAAAGAGUAUCCUGAUAUGAAAAUCCCAUCAGCUGGAACUUGGUCCCCAAUUGACAAAUGGACAAUAUCUCCAACAACCAAGUCAUAAAUGGAAACUUUUUGUCUUUUUUUAUCCCUAGUGACCUGAACAAAAAUCUUUUUCUUCUCCCUGUCCAAAUCCUUGAAUUGCAACGACUGUCUGUAGUCACUAAUAGCAGUAACCAUAACCACUAAAACUAUACUAGUUAAAAUUCCCACACCAUUGUACAUGCCUUUUGGCCAACCCUCAGUGGCAAUUUCAACUCCUAUUGAAACCACAGCGCAUACCAUAAGGAUAAUUAAUGUUAAGUCUUGUAGGGCUUCCCAUACAAACAUAAAAAAUGUUCCGGGAGGUUUCUCCGUAUAGCGGUUUAGGCCAUAAACAUUUUGCCUGAUUGGUAUGUUACUAUCCUUGACACCUUCAUCUAGCGAGACACAGACUUUCCUUAAAAUCCCAUGAAUUCCACCAUGCAUUUUCAAGGCCUUAAUAUCAUGGCCACACGUGAUAGAUGCAAGUUCAUCUCGGUGAAUGCUGAAACCUGCAGUUCUGGCAUCUUCAGACAGCUUGUAUUCAUCCUGUCCUGGCUUUUCAUUGGAUCGAUCACCAGCACCAUGCAUUUUCGAGGCCUUAAUAUCAUGGCCACACAUGAUAGAUGCAAGUUCAUCUGGGUGAAUGCUGAAACCUGCAGUUCUGGCAUCUUCAGACAGCUUGUAUUCAUCCUGUCCUGGCUUUUCAUUGGAUCGAUCACCAGCACCAGCUUCAUAAGAUCACAUAACAAAGAGAGAGAAGGAAUGAGAGAGAAGGAAUGAAUACAUGACAUCAGCACACACAUAACGAACUUUUACUUGACCUAUAAACUUAAAGAUGAUACCUUCAAUAAAAUGCAGUGCUGCUUGCUGAACAUAAAGAGCAACUCGAAUCUUUUCCUGGUAAAACAAAGAAGAAUAACAAAGUCAAAAAACAGAUGACAAUCACAGUCCCCCAGAACAAUAGUAGCAGUAAAAGUUCACAAGUCAAAGUCUUCAACUGAAAAUAACAGAGUAACCACCGAGUAUAUUCAAACAUAUAUAGCUUACAACCACAUUUGUGCAUCUGCACGCAUAUAUGCAGUUGUUUCUCUUGUACAGUCCUCAAAUAAGAUCUUUAACGAAGUCCUAUUAUCAGUUAUUACAUCAGAUUUGAACUACUCUCAAUGCAUCUCAGCAUUCAACAUAUACAAGGUAUUAAAAGUUGUUGCAGGUCCAAAAACACAAACAUUUACAGAACUAUUAACAAACAAUUGAUACGAACUAAAACUUUCCUUUAUUUCUAAAGGGAGAAUUCAAAAGCCUAUUUUUCAAUUUUGUUUGUUUUGAACAAAAUAAUCUUCCAGGUUUGAAAUAGUAUAUUAUGGGAUUUCAACAACUAUCAUGAUCAUUUGGUGGAGUAAUGGGAUUUCAACAACUGUCACGAAUCCUAGUAUGACCAACAAGAUUUUCAGGGUAUAAGGAAAAAAAAGAGUGCUGCUAAAAGAAUCCUAAUAUUAAUUGAGUACACCCUACUAUCAAAUUAUUUAUUGAAUUACUAAUUUACCUUAAUAUAAAAUGACCAAAAAGGAUAUAUUGAAUUGUGAAACACCCUCGACGAAUCCUCCACCGAACAUAGCAACGCCUCCUUCAUAAUAUCGUUUCCUCCACCGUCACACUAACACCGUCGUCAUACCAUCCACUUCUCCACCGUUACAGUAACGCCCCAUCAUACCAUUAUACUAACGCCGUGGUCGUCUAGUAUUGGUAAAUCUCAUUUUGAUUUUGUUAUCAAAUGGGUUAUACUGUCUUGAUUUGUUCUUCACAAGCUAAAAUGUUUUGUAACCCUCCUCUAGAAAUUGGUUUUAAUUCGUUCUUCAAAGGGAGAAGUUUAUGGGUUGUUUAAUGUUGAUUAUCUGAAGAGAUCCAUGACCAUGUGGGUAUGCUGUAGUCUUGCUGCAAACAUCGGAAAUGCCAUCAUAGCUUUUCUGGUUUAGAUUCAAAUAAUAUGUUAAGGGCCCAUGAAAAUCCCUUCAUAUAACUUGUGAAACCAAAUAAUAAGUUGAAUGUUCGUGUUUGUAGUUCAAUUCAAUACAUUUAUAAAUAUGAAAAGAGGGCACGAAUUCAUGUAAAAAGAGAAACUUGGUUUAGGAUUGGCAUUAGAGUGUAUUAGGGUGUAACAUGGGUAUUUUUGGUAGUUAAAUAGGGUGUACUUAGUUAAUUUUAUAUUUUAUUUAAAAUAUUAUGGUGUACUUAGAUCAUAGAGUGUACUUAGUUAAUUUUAGGGUUCGUUUAGCAGCACUCAAAAAAAAAAUCAUGAAUCCUAGUAUUUAGUAUUAACCCUAGGAUUUAUUAUCACGCAAUAAAUCUCAGAGUCCUCAAUUCUUUAGCAUGACCCUAGUAUUAUACCAUAAAAUCAAAAUUAAAACUAAGUUUUUCUGGCCCAUAAGAUACUAUUUUGAAGUAUCUUUCACUUUCAGCAUUAAUAUAACUUAGCAAAUUUCACUUGAAAGUUGGAAGUUGGAGCUAAUAUAUAUUUUCUGUUUAAGAAUUACUGAACUUAACAUACUGUUUUUUAAUACACGAAAGCAUACAUUGGUGCUGACAAUUAUUAUUUCAGAAAGACGACCAAAUCCGUAUGCGCACGUGUUUGACUGAAAAUCACAAUCAACUGAAAUCAAACACAUAGUUGAGCACGAUCUGCCAACUCUUGCAACCCCUUUUUAAGUUUUAUAAUCAAACAAGACGUUAAUGUAAAAACAAUUUUUCUUGAUAAUUUAAUACGAUCCAUAAUACUCCUUUAACAAAACAAACAAAAAACAAGUGAAGAAUACUUUUAUGCCAUGUUAGCAUCGGGACUGCACAUACAUAUAUGCGAGAUGAAUGAUAUUCAUAUAAAUUGAAAUAGCAUGGAAAAUAUUAAAUUGGUGGACCUAAUCAAACCCUUGCUCAAAAGUAAAUGAGACUAGCCUUUCUGCACGCGCUUCCGGGCCUGCGAGAGGCUUUUUUUAAAAAAAUUUAAAUUUAUUUUAGAAUUAAAAAAGAUAAUGGGUAGUUGUGUUUCAUAAAAAUAGGAUACAUAUUCUGAUUUUUCUUUUAAUUUAAUUUUUUUAAAUAUAAAAAGUGCGAAUUUACCAUAUUAUCCUCAUUUAAUACCCACCCACUACCAACACGACGAAACCCUCUUAUUUUAAAGUCAUUAUUUUUGACAUUUUUGUCAUGCGAAAGUUCCUAGAAAUUUCGUCCCUUGCCAUUUUUGGAAGAUGAAGUCAGAAAUGUCUUUUUAUUAUAUUCGUACCCAUCAGCGCGACCAGAAAAACUGUUUUUUGGUUAUAACAUUUCUGACUAAGCGUCGUUUUCCGUUGAGGCAAAUGAAAUUGAGUUUUUUAAUUUUAAACGCAAGUACCUACUAUAAAAAGUACUGCAUCGGAAAAUUGAUAUUUUCUUUUGGACAAACUACAUAAAAUUCCUUAAAUUAUAGGGUUAUGUUCAAAUUCAUAUUCAAUUUUAGAUAUAUUUACGAGUACAUAUUCAAAUUCCCGAAAAACCUACAAAUUAACCCCACCAUCAAUCAGACUGUUAAUAAGUCAGUUAAAUGCUGAUGUGGCGAAUGUGAAUUCCAUUUUUUAAUGAUAUAGACUCCAUGUGGAAAAAAAAAAAAUUAACUAUAUAAAACGGACGGGGAUAUCAAUACCACGAGCUCUCAAACGGACGGGGAUCGAAAAACAGUACUACAAUAAAGAAAUUGAGAACAAACGUGGGACCACCCACGACUAACGCAUUGUAAGCCGAAACAAAAUCCCUAGCCUCCUGCUUGUCUUUCUUUCUUUCAUUUUGUGAGUUCUAAUCCAAAAUAAAUAUCAUCCAUUCAGCAGGAAAUGACGAUUUAAUUUACAACCUACGAUUAGCGAUAACUGAAUUUUUAGCAGUCCAAAUUACUCAAAUUAAAAUACUGAAAAUCGUUUUAAUUUCUUUUGUUUUCCUACCCUUUUUUUCUCGGUAACCAAACAACCAGGCCAGCUAAACCUCUAUAAACAGCGGCGUGUUCAUAUUUUUUUAACGAAAUAAAAUAUAAAAAAAAAAACUGCAUAAGCUGAGAGAGAGAGACCUGUCUUUGAAGCUUCUUCUUCUCGGCCUCGGACCGCUUAGCGAGAUCGGCGACGUAGCGGAACCUCCUGCGAGGGUUCUUGACGACCGCGACGGCUUUUCUCCAUCUCCGAAUAGCUUCCUCCGAAGGAUUCUUGUUCUCCACCUCGAAGUCCUUCAAGUACCUCUCCAUUUCCACUGUUUUUUUCUCAGUCCUCACAACAUUCAGAGAGACGCAGAAAAAGAGAGAGUCGCUCGGAGGCGAAGACUAGAGGGAGAGAAGGAAAGGAACGGAAGGGGAAGCCAAAGGUCUGGAGUUGCAGUCUUUUAAGAUCCAGAAGUCCACACGCGGAUAGUUGGACGACUAGGAAAGAUUCCGUACAUGUGCGUGCAAAACGUUUGUCCUGUGGCCUACCGUAAGAGCAACUCCACUGAGCAGCUGAGCCAAGGCUGGGGAAAAAAAAAAAAAUUCGUUCCAACGGUGAGUCCAAGCUCGGGUUGGGAGUGGGUUCCAUCAAUUCGGGCUAACUCGAAGGCCAGUUCAACACGCGUCAAUGGUAAAAAAAAUUUGAACCAGCGCACUGACGCCAGCUCUAACGGAAAGAAGCCACGUGUCACGCCCCUAGCACUCCGAUCAGCUUCUUUGAAUCCAAUCCAACGGCUAGCAUUUUUUGGUCAAUAAAAUUAUGAAAAAAAAUCGAAAUUUUUUUAAAAAAAUUCUAAAAAAUUCUGAUUUUUUUUUCUUUCUAUAAAUACCUAUAAAUACCCUUCACUUUCAACACCAAUCCUCAUACAUUUCAUUAUACUUCUACUAUUAUUCACUAUUUACUCAACAUUUUCCUCUCUUUCACCUUGUAUUUUUAUUUCUUAUUUUUAUGGCUUCUUUUAUCGAAACCGGAGGGGCUUAGAGCACCAUGGAAGAUGUUUCCUCGUGUGAGGCUUGGCUCCAAAUUUGUCAUUGUCCCGUGUCCAGCAAUGAGAUGAAAUUUUUUCAUAUGUGGAAAAAAAUUCAUUCCGACUUUUGUGAAAAAAUUCCGGAGUCUACUCGUACGGAGAUGGCAUUAUCUAGUAGGUGGAAAAUUCUCAAUAAAUAGUUGGGAAAAUGGAGAGAUGCCUGUAAAAGCGAUGGACAACUAUAGAAGCGGGGAAAAUGGCACUAACGAGGUAAAUAUUUUAUAAUUUUUGUUUUAUUAAGUUUAAUCUCCUAAUAUAUAUAAUUUGUUAAUAUUUAUUGCAUUUUAAAUAUUUUGUUAAUAUUUUUUGCAUUUUAAAUAUUUUGUUAAUAUUUCUUGCAUUUUCAAUAUUUUGUUAAUAUUUCUUGUAUUUUCAAUAUGUUGUUAAUAUUUCUUGCAUUUCCAAUUGUUUCUUAAUUUUUCUUGCACUUCUAAUUUAUUUGUAAGGUUAAUUGCAUUUCUAUUUUUUUUUUUUGUUACUUGCAUAUCCAAUAUAUUUUAAAUAUUUAUUGCAUUUCCAUUUUUUUGUUAAAUAGAUGAUUCAAGCACAGAUGUGGUUUGGUGCAACCGGGGGUGGCAAAAAAAGUUUCAACCAUCAUGAAUGUUGGGAGGUGGUGAAUUAUUGCAAAUGCUUCAUAAUUAUUCCGACGGGUCCCACCGUUGUGUUAAACGAGACGCCACUCCGUGAUUCAAUGACAUCGGAUUCACCUCUCGAUUCCCCUAUGAGUCAAGACUCACCCAUCGAAAAGGAGCCGAGGCCCAUUGGCCGAAAGGCCGCGAAAGCAAAGAAAGCGGGUAAUUCAAGCAAUAAUAAUUCAAAGUUUUUGGAGGAAAUUGCAAGGCAAAACGGCAUAAGAAUUGAAAUGGAGUAGAAACCCUCGGAUAACGAGUUGGCCCUUCAAGCCGAGUAUGCACGAGAAAGGGAGUAUUUGCGCAAAAAAGAUAUGGACAAGACAGAUUGGGAAACCAUGGCGAUGGAUACAAGCCAUAUGUCCCUUGAAACAAAACAAUUUUGGAAGCUAGAACGAAGGGAUGUUAUGAGAAGAAGACUUUUCCGGGAUGAUGGGCUUAGCAACACGGAUUGGUUAAAUGAUGGAAACCAUUAAAUUAGUUAGCAUACCUUUUUAUGUAUUUGUAUUUUUCAUGUUUUCUAUUAAAGUUGUUGUAAUUCAUGUAUUUUAUUUUAGUAGUAGUAAUUCUUAAUGACUUGUAUUGGAUUUCUUUAUUUAAUAAACAAAGCAUUCAAUAAAAUACCUUUUUAUUCAACAUAUUCCAUACUUCAAACAAAACAAAAUUAAAAUAAAAAAAUACAAACAAGGCACAAUAAUAAUAACAAACCACAACCAAAUCAUAAUAAAUAAAUAAACAACACAACCUAACCAUAACUAAAUAAAACAUAACCAAAGCAUCUAUGCUCCAUCAUUCAUCUUCAUUGCCUUUCACCGCCCAUAGAUGCUCCAUCAAGUGAACUUGGCGCAUUUCAUGAAUAUACAAAGAUUGCAUCUCUGUAUAUCGAUCUAUCAUCUGGGUCAUGAAACGAUCAUCCCUCACCAAUGGUUCCGGCUCAAAAGGUUCUCCACUUGGCCCCAUGGGCCUUUCAUAAAUCCGUGUCAAGGCCGUGUUCAUUGGAUCCGGUUCGUAGACCUCUAAAGCAUCAUAAUCGUACUCAUCCUCCACAAUCAUAUUAUGGAGGAUGAUGCAAGUCAUCAUAAUGCUUCUGAGGAUCUCCUCAUCAAACAUACGGGCCGCACCUCGAAUAAUCAACCACCGAGCUUGAAGGAUGCCAAAAUACCUUUCGACAUCUUUCCUGUAUCCUUCUUGAUAGGUAGCAAAUAAUUUUUGCUUCUGGGAUCGGGGAUUCGGAAUGAAUUUGACAAAAGUGGUCUACCUCGGGUAGAUGUCGUCAGCUAGAUAAUACCCUGUUUGGUACACUAUAUUGUUGACUUGAUAGGUGAUAUUGGGGCCCUGGCCUCUCAAUACAUCGUUGAAGACCGGGGAUUGACCAAGCACGUUGAGGUCAUUUUGGGAUCCUGCAACUCUAAAGAAGGCAUGCCAAACCCAUGUGUCGAAGCCAGCAACGGCUUCAAGGAUGAUACUUUUUUGGCCUUUUCUAUUUCUGUAAUCACCUUGCAAGGCAGUUGGGCAAUUCUUCCAUUGCCAGUGCAUGCAGUCGAUGCUACCAAUCAUUCCUGGAAAUCCUCGAGCUUUGGCUUUUUGUAGAAGCCGUUAGAGGUCCCUGGGAGUAGGUCUACGCAGGUAGUCCCUAGUGUACAGAGUUUCAACUGCUUGACAAAAUCUUACCAAAGCCUCCAAAGUAGUGGACUUCCCCAUCCGGGCAAUCUCAUCUACCUGAUUAGUAGAUGCUUCAUACGCCAACAUUCGUAUAACAGUUGUAAGCUUUUGCUCCGAAAAAAGCCCCAAAACCCCAGCAGCAUCACACUUUUGAACAAAGUAUGUAUCAUAAUUGUAAAUAUCAUGCAUGACUUUAUUGAACAAAUGGGGUUGCAUUCUAAAUCGCCUUCGAAAAUCAACAUCAGAGUACAAAGAAGUUGGGAUAAAAUAAUCUUCCAAAAGAUUCUUACCCCGAGAAUGUCUAUGUUUGUCCACAUUCCGGCGGUGGCCGACUUGUGAACUGCGGCGGCGACCUUUGUUCUCUUCAUCUUGCAAAGCCACUGCUAUGACAACUUGUUCAUCGACUUGUCUCUGCAACUCAUUGAUUUCAUCUGCUCUACAGUUUCUCUCAUUUGUUUCUCGCUCUUGCCUCUCCAAGCAUCUCCUAAAAUUUUCCAUUGAGAAUGAAUGGAGUAUGAAUUCUAAACUCUGAGAAAUGAAAAUAUAGAAAGAUGUGGUGUGAGAGGUAUGAGUUGAGCCUCUAGUUUUAUAGAAAAUUUUGGCAAGAUAGACAUGCCACGUGGCUUGAUUUGAUUGGAUGAAAAUCUUAUCUGAAAUUUGAAAUUCAUCCGAAAUUUGAACCCAAAUUUGUAUGAAAUUUGAAUUUUGAAAUUCAUCCGAAAUUUGAAUCCAAAAAUCUUAUUUGGAAAUUUUAUCCGAUUAUGAAUAGUCUUGACACGUAGGAACUCGGAAAUCUUAUCCGAAAAUAUUAUUCAAAUUAAUUAUUUUCGUUACAAAAUUUGUGAAAAAAACAAAAAAAAUAAAUAGUAAUUGCCCUUAGUCAUGGCAAUGGGUGAAAACACAAAAUACUAUUAGCAAGGGCAACCACUAUUCACGUGAAUAAUGGCUGCCCUAGCUCCCCCCUUGCCAUGGCUAAGGGUAAAUGGGUGGAGUUGCUCUAAUACAUGGCACAAGUUAGUUUUUGUUUUUCAAAUUUAUCUUUAUUAAAUAUAUUGGCUUUUAUAUUCCUUCAAUUUAUUCAAAUUUUAUUACAACUUCCUUAGUAUAUUAUUAAAAAUUAAAUACGAAAAAACGCCCUUUUUUUUUUGGUGAAAAAAAUAAAGUUUGUUUCAUGACAUAUAUCAUCUUUCUUUUUGGUUUAACAAAACAUACGUCCUCUUUGAAAAAAAAAAAAAGAUAAAAAACUUCAGUUUUUAUUUUUAUUUUUUAAUUUUUUAACAAGGUAGUAAGAAAGUUGUACAAAAACAAGCUUGUUAUUUAAAAAAUAUAAUACAUUUAAUAAGGGUAAACUUGGAAAAUAAAAUUUAAUUUAUGUGAUGCAUUAAUGACAUUGUAAGAGCAUCACCAAUGUGGGGGGUGUAUAAGGAGAUAUAUGUUAAAUAUACACCUGUUGUGAUCGGAAUCACCCGCAAUGGGGGUGUAAAUGGAUGUAUAAUUACAUCACCACCAUGAGAUGUAAAUAUAGAUACAAUUGUACAUCUAUUUUUACAUCUCUUGCAGGUGGGACCCAGUUGGAAAAAAGAGAGAAAAAAUAGAGAAAAGUCAGCAUAAAAAGUGGGACCCACGGCUACAGUAAUUUCUAGAAAAAAAAAAAUUUCACAUGUUGUUUGCUCAUUUGUGGUUUUCAUGCUCCCCCUAAUGUUUUUGGAUGAAUCAUAUCUUCUCCGAAUUUAAAUAUUUUUAGAUCUAUUUGUUUGAAAAAUUAAAAUUAACCUAAUACAAAACAAAAAAUAUUUAUAAAGUAAACACAAAGUACAAAUUUAACGCAAAAAUGAAUUAAGACAAACAAAACAAUUAUACAUCUUAGAUUUACAUCUUUUCUCAUUGGAGCAAAAAACGUGGCUUUACACUCCCGAAUUUACACCCCUCCCCCCCAGCCCCAAUUUAUGAUGCUCUAAGUGUAAGUAAAAUAACACUUGUCAUGAAAAAAAGGGAGAAGAUCCAAAAGAGAAAGUUAGAGACAAUGUGCUAGCAUUCCCCUUAUACAAAUUAGAAAGUGACACUAAUUUUCCCUUUGAGGAUUUAUUAUUGUGGUUAAAUUUUGGACUCAUCACAUUUGUCUUUUUUUUUUUUUUUUUCUUUUUUUUACUUUAAAAAAAAAUGAAAAUCACAUUAGUAGUGAAGAAGUAUCCCAGACUUUUUAGCUAUAAAGAAAAAAUAAUAAUAACUUGACCAAAAUACCCUAAUUCUGAAAUUCUCGAAGUUUGACUUAGCAUUAUGGGCUAAAUAUAUAAGAAAAAAAAAUAGAGUAUAGUUUAGUGAUAAAAAAAAAUAGAGUAUAGUUUAGUGUUUGCCAAAAAAAUAGAGUAUAGUUUAGUGAUAAAAAAAAAAAAUUUAAGAUAUCAUAAAUUAAGUAUUUUGGUUUUGGAUUUGGUGAAUGGGUUUUGAAUUUUGUUUUAUAAUAGGACAAUAGUGUAGCCCAAAUUGGAUGGACCUAUUUAAAUUCAUAGGGGAAAAGACUGUUUUGCCCCUCUUAAUUUAAGAGGUUUUUCUCAAAAUAAAAUUAUUUUAGGGAACCCAGAAUAGAUGAGAACUGUAUAUAUAUAUAUACUAGUCCCUAUAUAUAUAAUAGCCCCUUAGCACAUGCGUAUGUGUCAAUUGGUUUUUUUAUUAUUUAAACAAUUAAAAAGAUAAUGGGUAGUUGUGUUCCAUAAAAAUAGGAUCCAUUACCCGAUUUUGUUUUUAUUUUAAAAAGAAAUUAAUAUGAAAAAAUGUGAAUUUACCAUAUUAUCCUCAUUAAUAAUUUUAAUUCUUAAUCUUUGCAUUAACGAAGGCAUUUUAUGGUAUGAAUAUGUGAAAAUUAGAUUGUUUGGAUCAUUGAAAAAAAUAAUUUGUAGGGGAUCCUAAAAGGUGUCCCUCAAAUUUAUUUGAGGAAAUCCUUAAUAGAAGGGGACUAUAUAUAGUGUCCUUUUUCAUUACGGAGUCCACUAUGAGGAUUCAUUUCUUCUUUCUUUCACCAAGUUCAAUAUUCUCUCUCUCUCUCUCUCUCUCUCUCUCUCUCUCUCUCUCCCCCCUCUUUCUUUUUAAUUCUUUCCUCAGUUUUCUUUCCUUUCUUUCCCUCUUCUCUCUUUGUUUCCUACAUUUAUCCCUUUAUCUCUCUCUCCUGUCUUUUUUUUCCUUCUUCUUUCUCUUCACCAAUUUUCUUCUUCCUCUUUAUUCCUUGUCUCUUAUCUACUUUUCUCUUCUUCUUUUUUUAUCUUCUCUCUCUCUCUCUCUCUCUCUCUCUCUCUCUCUCUCUCAGAAUGAUUUGAAGAAAAAAUCAUUUGGGGGAAAAAUUAUCGUGGCGUCAGCUAUAAUUACUAGAAACAAUUGACUGCUCCGUGUAUUGCUCUCAUGGAUUGUUUAAACCUCUAAAAUAAUUUUUCCCCAAAAUCAUUUUCAGAGAAUGAAGAAGAAAGAAAGAGGAGAGUGAAAAGUAACAAAAUGUCUAAGAAGCAUAAUCAACCAGUCAUGGAAGAACAACAUACUCAAACAUAGUCUCAAAUUCAAAUAAGAAUCUUAUGUUAGAUAUAUGCCCUAGAGGCCAAUAUAUAAUAGAAUAUUCUAAGGAUAUAAUAUAAUCAAUAUAAUCAAAGAGGCAUGAAUGUUACUCUAAGAUACUGUUCACUCAUUUUUUAUUUAAUCCUGUGAUGGUAGGGUAAAGUUCCCAAUUGGCUUGAAAACCAUUGGUGGUCAACAAGUCAACUUUCUUUUGUGUAUGAGCGUGCCACUGCUAGCAAUAAAAACCCUAGCAGACUUCUUAAAAAUAGAUAACUUGCGCCCCAAGUUAUUGAUUUCUAAACAAGCGAUUGUGAAUUUGGGUAAGGAAAAUCUCCCAAGUAAGUUCUUUUCCUGCAUCAGGUUGGUGAGGACUUUCACAAUUUUUUACAGUACAAAACUGGUAAUUCUAGCCAAAAUAAAUGAAAAAAAAAGCAAAUUGUUUAAGCAGAAUUGCCUUUUACAGGACUCAAAAGAGAAAUGUCAGCUCCUAAAAAAGACAACAGAACGUUGGACUUCGAUUUCUGCCUGGAUAGUUGACUCUGAAUCGGGCUGGACUAGAUGCGUUUGUGCUGGAUUGGAUCAUCAACACCUUCAAUUGGUAAGUUUCAGCUAAAAAUCGAUACCAAUGUUUGAGUUUGGCAGAGCUUCAAUAUAUUUCGAGUCAUGGAAGGCUUGUUUGAAUGGGCAGAAUUGAGGACUCUUUGGUCUGAAAAGGGCAGAAGUGGCUGGAUUGAUGAUCACUAGGCUGGAGCUGUACUGUAAUACCUGUUCUGCUUGAUCAAGGCUCUCUGUAAAUUUUUUGAGGUUUUCAUAUUUGUAAAAACCCAGACUCUACUUGACUUGGCUUUGUGCUGAACCAAAUUUGUGACGUGAGAAAUCUCGCUUUGUAAAACUGUUUCUCUGAGCUGAGCUGAAAUCAGAGACUUGAAUUCCAGCUGAUUUGUUUCUUGUGGAUCAAAGAGCUUUGGUUGCUUCAGUGUCUGAAGGCUUUUGAGAUCAGUUGAUCUUUUUGGGUUUGUCAGUUGUGACUUUGAGAGUUUUAGUCUUGAUUAUUUUUUGGUUGUCCUUUGAUCUGUUCACCUCCUAUCAUAUUUAUAGGAAAUGCUGGAGUGGGGUUUUUAAUCUUUAAUAAUGGGCGGCAGAUCUUUGAAAAUAUCUUCUUUUCUCAAUGCCAUAAAAGAGGGAAGUUUAUUCAUUUUGGCAGAGAAGAACUAUCAACAAUCAGCUUUCAUGUAGGUCUUUUCCUUGCUUUUCUGAAAGAAAAACCAACUCUCUUUUGUUCCAUGUUCGUUCUUUGUAAAAAGAACAUAGUCUAUGAUGAUAGUCAAUUUGCUUUUUCUAGUGAGCAACCUCCUUGCUCCCUCCUUAUCUCUUGAAAAACAUAGUCUGCUUAUCUCUUGGAGAUGCCACAUACUUUGGUGCAGAGCUUCUCUGCAUAUUAAAAGGGGAUUUGAUAUUCUCUCCUUGGUUGCAGAAAAUGGAGAGUCCUCCUGUAAGACCUGCCUUCAUUAACUCCCUAUCACCUCCUCUGUGAUAGUUGAAAAUUUUGACUUUUUCCAAGGUCAGAAAGUCACAUGGGAUUUCUUGAGAAAAACCUACUUAUAGAAAGAUCUGCUGACUUGCCUUUUCCUUGGGUAGAGUGAGAUUUUUCUUAAAAUGGCCAAUAAUAGUUCUUUUAUAUAUAUAUAUAUAUAUUUAGACUAGGGUUAUAUUCACAAUCUGCUAAAAAGGCCUGAGCUUAAUUUAGCUUCUUGGUUUGAUUUCUACUUCCCAUAGAUAAAAAGCCCAAAACGUUUUGUUCAUGGGCCUUUUGACAAAAAAUGGGCUGGCAUGCAAUAUUUUGGCCCAAACAGAUACAUAAUCUACAUAAAGUAACAAGUCCAUGGAUAAAGAUAUGAAUGGAAAACAGUCUAAAGAAGUUAAAUUCAUGAGACCUCUCCAUCAUAUAAGUAUCGUAUCCUAAAAGGUUCCCAGUCAUAGGAUCACCAAUUGGACAAUGGUGAGCUGUGAAGACUGGUACAUGUUAUGUCUGCUCAGUCAUAUGGAUGACUAGUUUUAAGUCAUUCGUGUAGCGACACUGAGACAAAUGUGUAAGUGCUCUAUGGAGAUGAAGUUCACUAAAUGUGAUCAACUCAAGAAUUCUUGUAUGGAGGUCUUACUCACAACAAGGAAUCUCUACUCUAAUUAAGAAGAGAGAAUACUCUAAAGAUAUGAUUCAUUGAAUCUUUGGCUUGCAAUUACAUCCAAGUGAAUCAUAUAACCUAAAGAUGUCAUGUUAGGGAAUUGACAAAAGUUAACAAUAUCCCAAGAUACACAACAUAGAGUAUUGUAAUAGAGAAUGAUCAAAUUACAUUGUAAUCACAAACUAACUAGGAUCUCAAAAUGAAUUCUAUUUAGCUUGGGUGACCACGACAUACUGCUAAGUGUCACUCAUGGUUUAUGGAAGUCUUGUGAGGACUAAUAACAAUUAGCCUUUGCCAAUAGGGAGAAUUGUACAAAAAUAUACAAUUCAUAUUCACUUUAGAAGUAACUAUUCUUACGAACAACCUCGGUAAUUAAAACCUACAAGAUCGCACUCGGAAAAGGUAUGGAUCGAGAAUUGAAAAGAGAAUAAAUGAUUUUGCCGCUGGAUCAAAGUCAAAGGUCAAACAAUUGACCCAAGACUUGACACGGUCAACAUAAGGUUGACUAAGACCAACACUUGUUAGACAAGAUAGUGAUUUAUUUAUUAGGUCAUUAAAUCAAUUAAACUAAUUAGCUAAGUUUAAUUGAUUAAUUAAAGUUAUAGAACUUUAAUUUUGGUCAUAUAUGACUUAAAUAUUUAUAGAAAUGGACCUCAUGGACUUGCAUCAUAUUAAAAGAUUAACGUGUUAGACCAAUGUAGCCCAAAAAGACGAAGGAUAGGGAGGGUGCGGCACAAAGGGGGCUUUUGGGAACACAUGUGUGACAAAAUGUCUCUAUAUAUUCAUAGCCAUAUCACCAUACUUCUUUAGGGUUUCAAGUUGGAUAUUUUGGAAGAAAGGAAAAACCAAAACCUCUCUUUCCCAAACCCUCUUGGUCAGCCACCAUGGAGAAGAAAGGCUAUCACCUCUUCUUAUUCUCUAGGUUCCUUAUUCUCUCAUUCUCAUUCUACCUUGAUGAAAAUUGUAGUAAUUACGGUUGUUGUCAUUAACUUUGGCCACAAUAAAGAGUGUUCGUGACCUAUAAAUGGUGAAUUCCACCAUGCAUUCUCACCUUUGCAAAAGUCUGCAUCCAUUAAUUAAAAUAUUAAUAUUGUUUGAGAGCCACUAUUUUAAAACAUUGGCCAACUAAUACCUUUAAAAAAAAUGAAAAUAUAAUGUAUAAUUCGAUGCAUAAAAUAAAAUUCACAUUUGAAUUUCCACUACAGUACAAUUCGCAUUAUUAUUCUCAUUUAAUAUCUAUAUAAUUACAUUAAGAAUAAAUAAUGAGAUUACAAGCCACUGAUGCGUAGUAACCGCAGCCAUUUGCUAUGGCCUUAAGUACCUUUUUCUAGUAGUGGUUUGCCAUGUUUUUUAUUCACACUCUUAACCGCCUCUCAUAACUAUGUUUUCAACCUUUGUUUUUAGAGCAUCUCCAACCGAUGUGUCAAAAGUGCCAAAUAAACAUUUAACAGCUAGAAAUAACAUCUCACAACUGAUGUGUCAAAGCUGAUGUGGAAUGAAGGCUGGGGAUUGAGAUGUUAUUUUUGACAUCCCAAAAGCAAGAUGUCAAAUAAAUAUUUUAUUAUUUUUUAAAGACGGAUGGCUGUUAUUUUCAUUUAUUUUUUUUUAUUUUUUUCUUCUUUAUCUUAAAUGAUUUGACUAUUACAAUAAUUAUUUAUUUUACAUAUCGAGUGGAGUGUAAAACUGUGUAAAUGUGAAAUUGCCACAUCAUCCAUCAAUUUUAAAUUUGAUGUUUGAUAUUUGACAUCUCCCUUGGAGAUGCUCUUAUAAGCUUAAUUUAUUCCCGACCAAGUUCUCCAGAAAAUAAAAAUAUACACAAGUUUUUUUCCACGACAUCAUGAUGUCGCCGCCGCCAUUGUCUCCUCUCAGCUCAAAUGGCUCCGAAUGGGCUUUCAAACCCGACCUCAUCCUUAAAAUUAAAUUUCCUUCAAUUUAUUUAUAUUUAGAUAUUUACUUAACAUAUCAUUUUUCUUGCCAAAUUAUAAAGAAAUUGUUAGUAGUUUAUAUUUGUGUAUGUUCGUGUAGGUGCAUAUAGAUCCCAAGCCUCCACAUUUACACACAAUUCAUUUACUGAUAUUUCACAACAUCUAGGCUAUUCUUAUAAUCUAACAACUUAAGAUCUGACACAUCAUUUUUAAACUUUUGAUACCUAUCCAUUUAAUUAACUCUAUUAAGUUUUAAUAAAAAUAUAAAAAUAUAAACCUAGUAGCCAUCCAAAAAAUUUACAAAAUACAUAAAAAAAUUCACAUAUUAUACACGUAUUUUUCAUAUAUUAUUGAAUAAAAAUAAUAUAUAUUAUAAAUUUUAAAUAAAUUAAAUUAAUUAUAUAGUGGUCGAACUUUUCAUUUGUAUUUUUCAAAUAAUAUACGUACAUUUUUUUUUUGUACUUUUUCUGUUCCGUAUUUUACUAAUUAUGAGUUGCAGUUUUGUGAGAUUAAUUGCUCAAAUAUGAGCCAUGAUGCCUGGUCUCAUGAGACCGAGGAGAAACUUGGGAUGAUCGAUAAGAAUCUCUCGAACAAGAGAAGAGAAGAUUUUUUUUAUUUGUCAUUCAGAUAUAGCACGUUGCAACUAAAAUAGUCUAGAAAAAAAUAAGCACGUACUUUUUUUUCUUUUUUCUAACUAAAACCCAAAAUUUGAGUUGAACACCAAAUUGUCCAUAAAUAUUGAAUUACUUAUUUCAAUAUGAUGUUAAGGUAAAUACAACCGUACAUGACAAUAUUUUUAAAUUUAGGUUUUUCUUGGAAGUUGAAAUCCUCAAUCUUCUUUAACCCUAACCUUCUUAACUCUCCUUCUGUCUCUGCAAACCAUGAGUUCCAGAACCACUUAUGCACAUUGGAUUGAAAGCUAUGAGAGUUCUAAUGAGGUUAGUAAGGGUAGUUCAAGACUGGUCUUGAGAUUUUGAAGGCUCUGUGUGAAAUUUAAAUUGGAGCCUUCACACAAUCUAAUAUGAAAAUACUUAUAUAUAAAAAAUUUGCCAUGAUUUAAUGUCAUAAUUUUUUUUUAUAACUAAAAUUCAUCAUCAAUUAGCAUGUAAUAACAAUCACAAAUCAAAUUCACACAAUUUUUAAUGUUUUCAUUUGAUAAAGUUAAAUAUUAGUAUGUUCGGUUAAAAAAAAAUAAGAGUUCAAGAGAAAGAAGGAUUUGACCAAAAAGACAAGAGAAAGAAGAAAGCAUGAAAUCUUUCUCCUUUUCAUGUGCUUUUGUUUUUUUUUUUUUUUUAAAAACUAUUUAAAAUUUUGUUGUUAGAAUGACAUUGAGAUUUGAACUUGGGUAUUGUACCAAGGGCUGCGUUAGAAACAAGCUCCAUCAAAUACAUUUUUAUGUCAAUGUGCUGUACCUUGGAAUAUAUAUACAGUUUUUAUAAUAUUAAUAUAUAUAUAUAUAUAUAUAAUAUAAAGGAAAAAAAAAAUUUCGAAGGCCCUCAAAAAUCGGAGGCUCUGUGUAGCGGCGCCACUUGCAUCAUGCCAGGGUCACCCCUAGGUUUAUGUUUAGAAUGGAGAAGAAUGAGACUCGAAUUACUACUUCUGCUCUCUAUAGACAAUAGAAAUUUAAGAUACAUUUUCAAAACAGUUCACAUGUGCUCGGGGAAAAAUAUGUAGACAUUGAGAAUUUUAUGAUUUUUUUUUUUUAAAAUUUUAAAAUUAGCGAUAGAUACAUUGCAUUGAGAAGGAGGGCACUUAUCCUAGGAUUCGAACAGGUAACCAAGGGGGGAGGGACCUCACCACUGGGAUUAGCGGUAGAAUUUUAUGAUAUUUGAAUGCUUGUUUUAGCCAAAUCAUAUUGUGUCUCAUUUGUCACAAUCAUUUCUCUAACAAACCCAAAAUACCAAUUACAAAAAGAUUAAUUCAAGCUUCAACCUUUUAGCUCAUUAUUUUUAAGCACUCACACACAUGGAAACCAACAAUCAAAACAUCACCUCAUAUAUAUAUAUAUAUAUAUAUAUAUAUAACCUGAAAAGAAGAAAAAAUAAUUUAAUGUCAUUGAAGUUUUUAUUUUUUAUUUUAUAACAUUAGUUAUUCACGUGUUUUUUUUUUUUUAUAACAAUAGUUAUUCAUGUGUUUUUUUAUUUAUAACAUGCUUCGACACGAAACUCCAUGCAUGUCACAAAAUCUUCGUCUGAUUCAUAAUGUAGACAAUUUUUAAUAACCUCAGGGAUACAUUUGAUAUAUGCAAGGCACUUUUUAUAGAAAUAACGAUAUAUGAAGUUAUAACGUGUAUCCAUCGACGAGAGUGACAAUAAAAAUAUUCUGAAAAAAUUGUCGUCUACUAAUCUUUCACUCCCCAAACUUCAAAAAAUGAUUUAGCCUUUCAUGAAUUAGAGAGCAAUUAGUUAAUUAAAAUAUUAAACCUCAAUCUUUGGUCACUAAUGGAUAGGCACCGCAGACUUGAUAUUCUAAGAAUUAGCCAACAUUUAUAAUUAAGUAAACGUAAAACUAGUUCGAAACGAAACUAGAAAUGUAAUUCUUCAAUUAUGCCAAAGAUCCAGAUCUAUUGAGAAGUGAAUUUUUGUUGUAAAUUUAUUUACAAACGAUGUGAUUUUUUUAAAUUAUAAAACGAUAUUAUAAAUUACUCUAAUAUACGAAGAGGUGGAUCAAACUCGGGUGCAAGGGGGCAAAUUGCGUUGCCAAAAUGAUAUUACAAAGCUAUUUGUAUAGUGGGACAAUUCAUCUAUAACAAUACGCUGCCACAAUUGAGUAGCCACUAUUAGGUAUCAGACUCAUUACAAAUAUGUAUUAUCCUUGGGUAGUCGAACACAACAAACAAUUAGCAGCAAACCCUCUAACCCACAUCACAGAGCUUGAUCUAAGAACACCACCAGCAGCAACGUACUUUUUGAUAAAUGGGUACAGCUGCAAUAGCCAAUAUCAUACCAAACAGUGCAUAUUGGGGCUUACUUGGGGAGGAAGCCCGAUCAAAAGCAAGUGACAAAAUCUCUAGGCAGAGGCAAGUGAGUAAGAACGCUACCCAAGUAGCCUACAAAAGAAACUAGUAUUACGUCAUAAAAGUUCAUAGAUAUCUUGUAAUAAAUAAACGUUGGUUAACUAUGGUUACGAAGGAAUUAAUUCAGUUAAAGUCAACAAUCUUGUACAACAGCUUUGAUGCAGGACGCAUAGGACUUAAAGUUAUUAGCUUCCUAAUAUAUUUGUUAAAUUCUUAGAUUCUUUAGUUUUCCAAAUUCUAGUAGAAUUUCUACUUUUCCGGAUUUCCAGAUUUCUAGUUUUAAGUUUCCUAUUUUAUUUGGGUUAAGAUUUUUGUUUAAACAAGGGAUUUUUAUCCUAUUAUGCCUAGAUUUUAGUCUGUUAUAAAUAAACCCAUAUAGUUCUUUAAAAUUUAGAUUUGAAUGUUGAUUUAACCUCUUUUUCGAACUCUCUGAUUUCAUCCCUUCAUUCUAUAUUUUCUUUUCCUCGACCUCCGAUAUUCCUUUUUAUUCUACUAUUUCUGUCCUUUAUCUCGUCUUUUCGGGACUCAAGUGGACGAAAUAUCAUCUAUAGAAAAUUUAAAGAGCCCACGAUGCCCUAACUUGGGUGACCCUCCCAUUUUAAGGAUCAAAUAGGACAGAGACAGCCAAUAAUCUCUAUCAAUGGCCACCCACCACCAACACGACGAAACCCUCUUGUUUUAAAGUCAUUAUUUUUGACAUUUUUGUCAUGCGAAAGUUCCUAGAAAUUUUGUCCAUUACCAUUAUUGGAAGAUAAAGUCAGAAAGGUCUUUUUAUUAUGAGUGCUGCUAUUUUCACCCCAUGUCUUAUUUCCCCAUCUACCUUAUCACCCUUUAUAAACAACCUUAUGUGGCACGCCAACUCAUCUAAUAAAGCUAAGUCUUUUUUAUUUUUUUUAUUAUUAUAUCCUAAUUAAAGCAAUAAUUACCAAAAAGUCCUUCCAUCUCCCUGUUUCUUCUUCCUCCUCCCCCACACACUUUCCACAAAAUUUCCAUUAUCGCCAGAGUUCUCACCAGCGCCGCUAAACCCAUCUCGCUCACUCAUUCUCCCAUGACGGUUCCUUCUCUUCACCAUGGCAGUUGUAUCGGAUUUCUCACUGCCGCUGCAUCAUGAUUCAUGCCUCUCUCGUCUUCUAUAUUUUCUAGAUCUAUAUACGAAGAUAAUUGGUUUGACGCUUCUAUAAACAGCGGCAAAACCUCUAUAAACGGCGGCCUGUUCAUAUUUUUUUAAUGAAAUGAAAACAAAACCGUAAAAACUGCACAAGCUGAGAGAGAGAGACCUGGAUUUAACACCGCUUCUUGUCGGCCUCGGACCCCUUAUCGAGAUUGGCGACGAAGCGGAACCUCCUGCAAGGGUUCUUGAGCACAACUGCAACAAGCAUGCUAACUGAUCCAAGUAAAAUGCAGAGUAACCAUAGUUGCCAGCUUAGUGGAACAGUGCUAGCAAAAGCUCCCAAGAACUCUACAAUGAUAACUUGGAAGGCCACUGUGCAAACCACGACGCCUAGGAAUACCCGGCUGUCAAACAUGCCCACGAAUAUGUUUUUCUUCUCUAUGUCACGGCUGUUUAUCUCAUUAAACACCUGAUAAAAACAAAAGCAAACAAACAUCAUAUGUAUGCCGGAUUCGUGUACUUACGCUGGUGUGUUAAGAUUUCAGAGAGACGGACGGACACAUGCAUAGCCCAGAAGAAGUUAUAGGCUGUAUUAAAGUUAAACGUGUUGAUGAUGCAAGAGAAAACCAGUGUUGCUUUUAACCAGUAAAAUGUACCUGGCAAAACACAAAUGCGUUGAAUAUCACAGUGUCUAGAACUUCAGUUGCAUCUGAACCAGAAAGUCCAAGUAGCUGUUUCCCAUAGAAAUUGAGAACUCCAAGGACAAUCAGUUGAUAGAUACUCUGGCCAAUGAUAUUCCUCCACAUGGCCUUGGUUAUGAAGCUUGAAUCCCUCCCAACAGGGGGCCUUUUCAUAAGUCCAUCAUUUGGAGGCUCUGUUGCCAGUGCCAAUGCCCCAAGAGGGUCCAUAAUCAUGUUGACCCAAAGCAAUUGCACAGCCGUAAGGGGAGCAGAUCCUGAAAGAGAUGUGAAAUUUAUCGUUAUUUAUUUGUGUCUUUCUAAACAAAUAUAAUGGUGUAGCAUGCGAGAAAAAUCUGCCAGACCAACAUACCCGAGACACAUGCAGAAACAAAAUUGAUUAUUAGAGCAACAACGUUAACUGUCAACUGGAACUGCACAAACUUUUGAAUGUUUACGUACACUGAACGUCCCCAUCUGGCCACAUUUACUAUAGUCUUAAAAUUGUCAUCCAAUAUGAUAACAUCAGCACUUUCCUUGGCAACCUGUAUAUACCAUCCAUGAAUUGGCUAUUUAGAACUAGGAACAACAUCCAAUUAUCAAGCAGCCAAGAGGAGAAAACAAAUCCUAAAUGACACAAAAUGGUAAGUUAACCUUAUGCGCAUUCAGAUUGCAGGGGAAAAAAAAAAAAAAAAAGGCACCGUCGAUAAUUAGCUAAAUAUAAUUGAGUAGUUAAUUUAAGCAGAGGGACUUGUGAAUUCCAGAAAUCAGCAACUGAAAUUUAUUGGAAGGAUACCAUUCCAAGUAUACUACUUGGACAAAGUAAUGGUUCAAAAAUGAUUUAGAAAAGUCAUAGAGCAGCUCGUUGAGGUACAUGUUGUAGUUUGGAGUUGCCUUUUCCUUUAGCAAGCAGUAUAUGCUAUGAGUAGCAAGAGGAGCAGAGGAAAAUCACAGUAAAUAUCUCAAGUUGGCCUAUUCCCCAAGUCAAGGGGUGUUAGAAAGCAACAUAAAUUGACAAAAAGAACAAGACACCAAUUUCUUUUUCUAGUAAAUGUUAUACAAGUUACAACAAUCAAGUUGCAUUCACCAGCUUCUUGGUAGGAGCGUACUGAAGAGGGCAGUUCUUAUCACAUCUAAGGCUUUUUCAGGUUUUCUUAGGAAGCAGUUCUAUUUUGGUGGUUAUUUCUGUCCAAGGGUAAAUACGGGCAUGAGGCACCAAAAUAGUAAUAUUAGUAACAAAAAUAAUAAAACAAACAACAAUAAUUCGAAACUACAGCCUUAAUUGUUUUUUCUUCUGGCUAUGCACCAAGAAUAUAUCUUUAACAUAAUUGUUUUACUCAGUAACAUGACGCGCCAUGUGUCCUACCAUCAAAGAUAAUGUGUCUUGUCAACGCAUGCUACAUGCGACAUACAUGAAAUGAGUUUGAGUAUGUGACAAAUCAUGUCAGUAGCCAUGUCAUGGAGUAAAUCAAUUUUGAUGGAUGAAGGUAACCUCUGUUCCUGCUAUGCCCAUAGCAAGUCCAAUGUCUGCCUCAUGCAAAGCAGGAGCGUCGUUGGUCCCAUCGCCAGUCACUGCAACUACCUCACCAAAUUCAUCUCUCAGAGUUUUUACCAAGGUGUGCUUAUCCAAUGGUAAAGACUGGGCCAUCACCUGUAUCCACAUGAACAUUUAAAUUUUUUGUGAUCCUUAAAUAGUUAUGGUUUAGGGUGAAAAUUUUCCAAUGAAAUUAUUUAGUAACCUGAAUUCUCGGUAUAACAGCUUUCUUCUGCUCAGGAGACAUGUUAUGAAACUCCUGUCCUUCUAUGGCUAAACCAUCUUCUGUGAGUAUGCCGCAUUCUUUAGCUAUGGCUUUAGCCGUAUUUAAAUUGUCACCAGUGACCAUUCGUACAGUUAUUCCAGCAGCUAAACAAGUUUGAACUGCAUCCUUGACCCCAGGGCGCACAGGAUCCUUGAUACCGACAACUGCUAUCAAUGUAUAGCCAUCAUCUGGGAUUUCAUUUUCGAUGGAAGAGUCAUCUAUAUUUUUGAAAGCCAAGCAGAGCGUUCUCAAGGCUUCAGAAGCAAAAGAAUUAAUGACAUCCGUGAUAUUCUUUACCUGUUCUAGGGAGAGAAUAACAGAUUCUCCAUUAAAGUCAAUAAAUUUGUUACACAUUCUCAGUACUAUUUCUGAUGCACCUUUGCAAAAGGCUCGUUUCCCACCAUGAGGAUGAUCUACAAGCACAGACAUUUUCUUCCUCACAAAAUUGAAAGGUUCAACCUUAUGAAUAUUAACCUCUCUGCGCACGGCAUCAAAAUCGCCACCCAAAAGUAAACCAAAUUCUAAUAAUGCUAACUCUGUUGGUGUCCCCAAAAUGGAGGUCUUUCCAUCUUCCAUAACAACCUCAGAGCUUGUAUUUUGGAAUAUAACCUGUAAAAGGAUGCUUGAUGCUCCAGAUAUUUCUGAACUCAAUAUUUCUUUACUCUCAUUACCUUUUACAUCUAAAGGUUUUCCACAUAUCCAUAUCUUGUUAACUACCAUGUGGUUUGUGGUUAAUGUCCCUGUUUUAUCUGUGCAAAUGCAACUAGCAGAACCCAUUGUCUCACAUGCUGAGAGAUGCCUUACGAGUGCCCUAUCAUUCAUUAAUUUUUUCAUAGCAAAAGCAAGGCUCAGCGUCGCUGCCAAUAGUAAUCCUUCGGGAACUGCAACAACAAUUAUAGUUACCGCAAUAGCAAAGUAGUUCAAUAGGAUUACCGCAUCGGUUGAAGACCAAUCAGUGAUCUCGUUGUUAAGUAUUUUUUCCACCAAAAAUCUUACUGCCAAUACCGAAAAUGUCAACACAGCAAAAGUCAGACCAAUUUUACCAAUAAUUAUAGCAACACCAUUCAGCUUUACCUGCAGUGGGGUCUCAUCUUCUUCUUCUUCACUCAGAGCUGUCAUCAACUUUCCCCAUUUAGUUCUCAUACCAACUGUUGUCACCAGCAUUAUACCUGACCCAUCCUGCACUUUAGUUCCUGAAAGAAGAAAAGGCUUCUCUUCAUAUACAUUCACUGGCUCACUCUCACCUGACAAGCUUGACUCAUCAAUCAGCAAAGAGUAUCCUGAUAUGAAAAAUCCAUCUGCUGGAACUUGGUCCCCAAUUGACAAAUGGACAAUAUCUCCAACAACCAAGUCAUAAAUGGAAACUUUUUGUCUUUUUUUAUCCCUAGUGACCUGAACGAAAAUCUUUUUCUUCUCCCUGUCCAAAUCCUUGAAUUGCAAUGCUUGUCUGUAGUCACUAAUGGCAGUAACCACAACGACUAAGACUAUACUAAUUAAAAUUCCCACACCAUCGUCCAUGCCUUUUGGCCACCCCUCAGUGGCAAUUCCAACUCCUAUUGAAACCACAGCACAUACCAUAAGGAUAAUUAAUGUUAAGUCUUGUAGGGCUUCCCAUACAAACAUAAAAAAUGUUCCAGGAGGUUUCUCCGUAUAGCGGUUUAAGCCAUAAACAUUUUGCCUGAUUGGUAUGUUACUAUCCUUGACACCUUCAUCUAGCGAGACAGAGACUUUCCUUAAAAUCCCAUGAAUUCCACCAUGCAUUUUCAAGGCCUGAAUAUCAUGGCCACACGUGAUAGAUGCAAGUUCAUCUGGGUAAAUGCUGAAACCUGCAAUUCUGGCAUCUUCAGACAGCUUGUAUUCAUCCUGUCCUGGCUUUUCAUUGGAUCGAUCACCAGCACCAUGCAUUUUCAAGUCCUUAAGAUCAUGGCCACACGUGAUAGAUGCAGGUUCAUCAGGGAGAAUGCUGAAACCUGCAGUUCUGGCAUCUUCAGACAGCUUGUAUUCAUCCUGUCCUG
RNAcentral lists this long non-coding RNA (47418 nucleotides) under Prunus persica (peach). RNAcentral's name for it is "long non-coding RNA (PPER_LNC007224)". The record is from RNAcentral. Lineage: Eukaryota; Viridiplantae; Streptophyta; Magnoliopsida; Rosales; Rosaceae.